AUUCUCAUGCAGCUGCUAGACAAAUGAAAGCAACAAAAUGUGUGAAUUUGACCGACCGUUCCUAGAACAAGUGACAAAGGAUUUGAUAGUUGGUACUCGAGAUCCCAAGUUUGAAUUCUAGUUGAUUCAUAUUUCCAGCUAAGUUUAUUUCUAAAUAAAAUAAAUAAAGCGGGUAGCGUGCUACCUAUAUCUCAACAAAAAAAAAAGUGUGAAUUUGUCUCAGCAUACCGUGGAAGAUAAUAUAUUAAUUUAUUAUCUGAUCCAUCUUUAAUUUAUUUUUAUCCGUAGCUUAUGUAUUACCUAAAAGAAAACUUCCCAAUCACCGCUCUACCCUGCACCGUAUGAACUCAAUUUUUUUCUUAAUUUGAAGAAUUCUUAUACUUAAUAAAAAGAAAGUGGUAAAUCUUAAAUAUUUUUUGUUCAUACAUGCAUGCGUGUUUAAUCUGGCUAUGGAAUAUAUUAAACAUAUAAUUCAAUAGAUUAAUUGUUGUCUAAAUAAUGCUUUUGGGUAAAUCACCAGAGUAAAGUUAUUUUGGUAACUUCACUAUAUAGCAAAACGGGAAGGUCAAGGACUCCUGCUUCUGAGAUUUUCUUUUUUUAAAAAAAACUAGAACAAAAAAUUCUAAUUGUAUAUUUAUUAAAUCUUGUUAAAAAUUAUUAAAGUUAAGAGUACGAUCAAGAAUAAGUGCACCAGAAAUCUUGGUUGUCACAAUAUUUGGCAUUUAUCAAUGUAUAGAGCCUGAAUCUACGCCUUCUAGAUCUUAGGUCCCAACAAUACAAGUCCAAUUGUUUAGUGGUUGUAGCCCGUAAAUCAUGAAAAUACUACUUGUACAGUCAGGGUACCGUUUAGUUCGAGUAUAAGCAAGAACUAGCUAUUAUAGGGAUAGAUACAAGUAAAUAUAUGGAGAUAAAAAAAAAUAGCGUUUGGAUGAAAAUUAAGUUGUUCCCGGAGAUAAGAAAAAUACCGUUUGGAUAGAUAAUAUGGAAUAAAAAAAAUAAUUGAUAGUUAUAUAUAGAAAAUGAAGGUGUUGGUGAAAAUAGUUAUACCAGAUUAUUUUAGAUAUCCAAGAACUACUAUUCUCGGAUAAAAAUUUGCGUUUAGGUAUAAAGAGGGAUAAGAAGUUAUCCCUCCUCUUAUCCCCAAUCCAAACAUUGCCUAUAGGAAUAUACAUUCUACAUCCAGAUAUUUUAAAAUUUAUAGAAAUAUAAGUAAAUUUUAGUUUAAAAAAUAAUUUGACAAAUAAAUAAUAGCGAUUCUUAGAUGAAAAAAGUGUUAGAUAUACAUUUGUUUUUAGAAUAUACAAAUAGCAUUGCUCAUAAAUCAUACCAAUUUUUUCAUAUAGGCCCUCAAUCUUUGUUUUCUUCUCAAAUUUAACAGUUGAACGGAAAAAGUCUGAAGCAAAUCUACAAGUGACCAAAGAAAAAAAAAAUCAGGACUUCCAUUGAAAAAAAAAAAAAGAAAUAGAAAAAUUAAACUAAAAUUAAUUUCUAGGCAAGAUUAACUAUACACCUUACGUAAUAGUAACAUUUCGGAGUCACCCUUCAAAAUUUUAAUUACUAUAUGUAAUUCUUUUUCCCUCAAUUUUUUUUAAAAAUAUUUAUAAAUUCGUCUAUUCUGCAGGCUGGCUGGUCAAGGCACAUUAGGAGUGUAAAUGAGCCGAACACGAGCGAACUGGGGUCGGCUCGUGUUCGGCUCGUUUAUUAAACGAGCGGAACACGAGCUUGGCUCGUUAAAGUUCGAGCCGAAAAAUUCAGACCCGAAAAUUCAGCUGUGUUCGGCUCGUUUAUUAACGAGCCGAACACGAGCUGGCUCACGAAUUGGCCAAUGAACAAUAAAUUUUUAAAAUAAAUUAAAUAUAUAUAAAAAACUAAAUUUAAUAAAUCUUAUCUAUUAGACUUUGAUCUAAGGGUGCGUUUGGUUCACGCUAUCUUUAAAGAUUCCUAGUAAUUCAAUAGAAAUAAAAAAUAUGACGGUGUUUGGCUAAACGCACUAAGUAAUCUAGUUGGUAAUAUUGGAUUCACUUGGGAAUAAGAUUUACCAAAGUACUAAUCUUAUUUCCUUGAAGGAGGAUGGGUAUCAUCAUAUUAAUGGAUUUGGCUAAUCAUAAUAUGUCUAAUCUCUUUCUUUCUCCCACCCGCCGGUUAAUUGAUAUUUUUUUUCUUAACACUCUAACCUCAUACCUCUCUCUAAAUUUAUCUUUCUCUCUAAAAUUUAACUUUUUUUUCUUUCUCUAAACUAACUUUUUUCUCUCUCUUCUAAAAUUUCAAAUUCUCUUACUCCCUCUAAUUUCGACUCUAAUCUUUUUCUAUUUUUUUAAUUAUGUUCCUCUCUCUAAUAUGCUCUCUCUCCUUUUUUCUAAAAAGAUGUUGAAACUUUUAGUAGGCAUAUCUAAAAUUAUUAAAAAAAUAAAUAAAUUAAUUGUAUAUUUUUUGUAAUAUUAAAUAAUAUGGCAAUUAAGUAUUACCGUGCGAACCAAACAUUAAAAAUUUAUAUUUUAGUAAUAGGAUGAAUAGGAAUAAGAUUCUCAGACAUCUUUUCAUUUCUAGUAAUCUUUUAUAAUACGAACCAAACGCACCCUAUAUAGUUGAAACUUUACAUAUAAAUGAGUCUUUUUAUAAUUGAGCUCGCAUUUAUAUUUUUAUUUUGCUAAAAAUUAAAUAAUAAAAAUAUAUAUUAUAUAUAAUUAUUUAUUUAUAUAUAAAAAUAUAAAUUAAAUAAAUUAUAUAAAUAUAAAAUAUAUGUAUUCGAGCUGUUAUCGAGCCGAACACGAGCGAGCUGACCCCAGCUUGUGUUCCGGCUCAUUUAUUAAAUGAGCUGAAAAAUCCAGCUCGUGUUCGACUCGUUUACUAAAUGAGCGAGCCGAACACGAGCUGCCUCGCGAACAGCGAGCCGGAUUGCCACCCCUAAGGCACAUGAUGUGUACCCUGAAUUAUAACCUCUUAAAAAUUAAUUUGUAAUAACAUAAAUAAUUUGGGCAAUAAAAAAUAUUAAAUCUAAGAACAAUCGACUUAGUAAUGAAUCUAAAAGAUUUUGAAACUCGAAGAAAUAUAUUAAAAUAGGUAAAAAGCACAUAACUUAUGUGAACUAUAGAUUAUUUUGAAUUGAGUAUCCAACCUUUCAAAUGUUUGAUUUUAUCGUCUGACAUUUCAAUUUGUUUGAUUUAAUUUAGUCAACGAUAUUUUGACUUUAAACUUUAAAUGCGCGCAAUAUUUAUCUUUACAUAUUUAGUCAGUAUACUUCACAUAAUUUUCAUAACUAUAAAUUUAUUAAAAUAAGUAAUUAGCUUAAAAUUUAAAAUUAAAGUAUCGUUAUAUGGUUCAAAUUAAGUAAAUUAAAAAAUCAGAUAAAAAAUUAAAAUUUUUAAAAAUUAAGUAACUGAAUCAAAAUAAUCCACAAUUCCAAUAAGUUAAAAAUUUGUACCAUUAAAAUAGUAUAGUUGAAACUUGAAGCCACCAACAUUCCUGUCGUUCUCUGUGCAAAUAUCAGUAGUUUAAAGGUAAGGAAACAAAUCUUAAUCUAGAUAUAGUGAAUCUUAGAACGUCUCCUUCUAUCCGUCCAUUCAAAGAAUGUAUAUCGACUCUCUUGCACCGAUUCACACGGAUAACACCAUAACACCAUAUACAAAAGCCUACGGGCAGUUUCGCCCCCAACAAACAAAAAAAACAAAAAAAAACCAACAUAUCAUGGAAGAAAAACAAAUCUUAAUCUGGUUACAGCGAAUCUUGGAAGGUUUCUUUAGUUUCGGUCCAUCCAAGGAAUGUAUUUUGACUCUUCUACGUAGAUUCACUCACACUCACAACAUCAUCAUCAUCAUCAUUAUUAUUAUUAUUAUAUCAUUGAAAGCGCCCAUCUUAUUCCAUUCCAUUCCAUUCCUUUCCUUUCUGGAAGAAAGAAACAAUGUACAGAGACAGCCCCGAGAAUAGAAAUUAAGCUCAGGCAAUGGCAUCCCCUGUAGACGACAAGGCCCCUCUCCGCUACUGCAUCAUAUCUUCUAUAAAUAUACAUUAAAUAUAAUUUUAUAUAUAUAUAUAUAUAUAUCCCUUCAAUCUUCUUAAUUAAUGUAGCGGCCGCAGCCCACAGAUAUGGCCNAUAUAUAUAUAUAUAUAUAUAUAUAUAUAUAUAUAUAUAUAUAUAUCCCUUCAAUCUUCUUAAUUAAUGUAGCAGCCGCAGCCCACAGAUAUGGCCAAAAUUAGGAAACAAGGUUGAGCAAAGGAGGAAGAGAGCACACGCUAGCUCUUCACCGCAUGGUUUUCCUGAGCACCAUUUGAUUUGGCUCCAUUUAUAACCUCCACUCUCUGUCCCUUCUGUUUUUUGAUUCCGUUUCUUUCUCUCUCUCUCUCUCUCUCUCUCUCUCUCUCUCUCUCUCUCUACAGCGGAGCAAGAGCAAGAGCAACCAUCAUUGAUCACUGAUCAGUAGUGGAGGAGAUCUAGAGAGAGGACCGAUGAGGGGUUUGUGGUUUCUUGGGCUUGUUGGGCUGGUUUUGGUGAGAUGGGCUGAUGCUAGUAGGCAAUUAUCCAAUGCAACAGGGGUAGGGGUAGGGGUAGGGGUAGGGGUGGGGGCCGGAGAGAGUGAUGCGAAUGGGGGCGAUCCCUUGAUGGUGGAAUUGACUCUUAUUGAAUCUGCUGUCUCAAAAGGAGCUGGUAUCUUCAUCAUGACUUUCAAAGUUUUUUGUUUUUUUACCUGUUUCUCAUGACGUGCUGGUCGACCUAAGUUAAUUUGAAUGUAUAUCUACUGCCUUAAUUAGUUUCUCUCGGGGAUUUUUUUCUCUUUUUUGUUUCAUGCAAUUUUUAGCCGCUGUGAUCUUAAUUGACGUCAUGAUUGUUGUCUAAAUUCUUCACAAUUUCUUCCUAGUUUUUCUUUAAUUUUUUCUACAGCAUAUACAAUUUUCAGUUCCCCAUGUUGUAAUAAUGCCUACUUAUGUUUCUGUUAACUAGUUAACAUUCCUAUUUCUGUUUCAUGAAAUUAAUUGUCUUUGACAUUGAUAGGAGACUUACUGUUUUCUUCUUGAUUCCUGAUCUGUCUUAUCUCAUGGAAUAUUAAGACGUACGCAUGAUCUUGUUUUUUGUUUUCUUUUUUUCCUCUCCUCCAUUUUAUUGUUGAAAUUAGUUCUUAUCCAGCUUAUUGAUUUAAUUAAUAGUGCAGGAGUCCGCAUUUUGCAGCGGAUAGAAACAGCAGAAAUAAUUAAUAAUAAAAAAAUAUCAAAUAUUUUUUUAUAUUAUAUCUCAUUUGCUACAUCCACCAAAGAUCUUUCAUUGUUGACGGCGGGAAUGGACCUAACAACUCCUCCGGCAAUAGCAAUAGUGACGGCAAGGACAAUUCCUUCGGCCACGGCGGAGAAGGGAGGUGGGUGCGCAUUAGGAGGCGAUAGUGUACAAGAAAAGAUAAAGGAAAGAGAAUUGAUAAAUUAUUUAGAGAUGGAGAGUCAAGGAUUGUAGAUGGUAGCGAACCAUUUGAAUGCAUUAAUUAGAAGUCUAAUAAAGGAAGGAAAGGAGAAGGAUGAUAAUGAAUUAAUUAGAAAUAGAAAUGUAAGGAUUGUAAAUGGCAGUGGAACUAUUUAAAUACAUUAAUCGAAAUUUUAGUAGUGGGACCAUUUAAAUAUAUUACUGGAAAGUUUAGUAGUAGGAACAUUUAAACAUAUUAAUUGAAAGUUUGGUAAAAAAAAAGGAAUGAGUCGCAUGUGAGGACGAAGGAGAACUUAUAUAGUAAAAAAAUAUUGAAGAUUUAUAUAUAUAGUAAAAAAUAUUGAAGAUUCAUAUACAGCAAUAUAUAGUUUUCUAUUUUAGUUCUAAAACAUUCGGUAUGUAGGAUGGAAUUACGUGAUCCCUUGAACAGUCAACGGCAACAUUGCUUUUCGUCUUGCCCUUCGUACUGCUGCUGAAAUAGUGAACAGCUAGCAACAUGGAAUUGCCGAAUCAUCGCUAUUCUCCUUUAUAAUCGUACAGUAGACCACUAACCUUGGGCUGGUUUUAAUGUAUAUAGUAAGGUAAAGUAAUACAGUGUUGUGUCAAAAUAAGAUAAAAAGAAUUUCACUACAUUAAUAUUCACAGUUUCAUUUUAAAGUACUCUAAACGUCAAUUAAUAAAAUCUAAAGAUAUUGUCCUCGUUCGUUCUUCUUAUAUAUCGUCACUUCAUGUUAGCAUGCAUUUAACUUAAUGGCUAUUAAUAUACUUUUCAUGCUUUCUUUGUUUAUUUCGAUGUUAACUUAAUUUUGAGAUAUUUAAGGAAGACUAAAACUUAUUAGAAAGGUGCUCUUAAUGAUGAAUUCAGUCUGUUUGGAUGGAACUCCGCCCGCUUACCACCUUCAUCCUGGAUUUGGAUCAGGAACGAACAAUUGGCUUGUUGACUUAGAAGUGAGUGGACAAAGGGUUUAAUAACUAAUAUAUAAACAUAAAUUUUAGUCAAUUAAAUGAUCUCUAUAUAAGUGUUCUUGGAAUAAAGGGUGGUGGCUGGUGCAAUAAUAUAAGGUCGUGUGUAUACCGUAAGACAAGUCGUCAUGGUUCAUCAAAUUACAUGGAGAAACAAAUAGCUUUCACAGGGAUUUUGAGCAACAAACCUGAAGAAAAUCCGGGUAUUAUCUUCAUUUCCUCCAUAUUAUAAUAUAUGAACUUUUACCUUCGAGAUAUAUUAAUUCAUAAUUCCUCUCAUAUUGUUUUUUGCUUAAUUUAAUGCAAACAGAUUUCUAUAACUGGAAUAGAGUGAGGAUUCGUUAUUGUGAUGGGGCAUCCUUCUCUGGAGAAGGCUAUGAUAAGGUUACUAGUUUUAUAAUAUUUGUACUUUUAAGCUAUAUAAUGAUGUACUCGAGUCUAUUGACAGAUUUUUUUUUGAUCAUUAGAUAUCCAAAUAAAAUUCUUUUUGUGCAUCUACUAGUUAAAUUUUUAUGCAACUUUUGUUUGUAAUAUGUUUCAAACAUGUUUGACAAUAGGAUUCACAACUUUAUUUUCGAGGACAACGUAUCUGGUCAGCUGCUAUCGAUGAACUCAUGUCGAAAGGAAUGAGCUCAGCCAAUCAGGUUUUCUUUCGUAUUCUCUCUCUUUUUGGGCCAAUAAUCAAAAUGCCACUAUAAGUUUAUACAAUUUUGUUAAUUAUUGUUUAAAAUUUUUUACAGGCCCUUCUCUCUGGGUGUUCUGCUGGAGGUUUGGCAUCGAUUCUACACUGUGAUGAGUUUCAGGCAUUAUUUUCAGGAAGCACCAAAGUCAAGUGCUUAGCAGAUGCUGGCUUUUUUUUGGAUGCGUACGACCCCCUAUAAACUAUAUAUGUGCUUAAUGUUACACAAGUUAGUUACAUGAAACAUUUAUGUUUCUUCUGUCAUUUUCUUUUUUAAAAAAAUUUGUUUUUCGUUCUACUUGACUAUAUAGAAGAACUUUGUUAUUUUCAUAAACUUUAAUAAGUGUCUCACUUAAUUUCUUUCGUUUAAAUAUUGCAGCGCUGACGUGGCCGGUGGGCAUACUCUAAGAUCCGUCUACGAGGGUGUGGUGAAUCUUCAGGUAUUGUUCUAAUAAGGAUCAUCGAUCUCACGCUUCCUCACAUCGUAGCUAAUCCCUUUCUGUUAUUUCCACACCGGGAUCAAGUAAAUGUUUCAACUGUUAAUUUGGUUGUUGGCCUGCUAUAUCUUUGUCCGGGACACUCCGCAAUUAAAGCUUUGUCAACUAGCUAGGCGCGCGUGAUGCAUGAUGGCAUUAAUCUUGGUACCUAUGCGGCAUCUUAAUUUCUUCUUUCCCAGCUAGUCACCAAUCACCAUAUAUUUUCUUUUUUCUUUCCCCUCCUCUUCCCUCCUUCUUUUCCUCCCUCUUUGCACCACCGUCAAUUUACGCGCCAUAGACGAGCACCUGUAGCCUAUGUUGUCCUCUUUAAGUUCUUUCCUCCCGUUGCAUCUUAUCCGACUACCGGCCUUGGCAGUUUCAACCCCCUUUUCCAUGCGGUCCCUGCCACCUCUUGCUCCGACUUACUUUCUAUUUCUUUCUCCUUUUGACGCUUCCUCCCUCCCAGGUCCCAGCCCCAGGCAUAUCCAAUGUUCAAUUUUCUUAUCCUCCAUUCAUCCUCCUCUGAUAUCUGAUGUUGAGAAUUCGCAACGCGUUCUGAUAUUGGUUACCGGUUGACCCGGUACUCGCUCCGGUACCAAUUACUGGGAUUCAGCAACAAAUGUGUCGAAUUGAAUUUUUUUCGUAAAUUCGUCUCCUUAGCUAAAAUCUAUUACUGUCACAACCACAAAGAAGAAAAAAAAAAUAAACAGAAAAUAUGGGUGAAAUGAGAUUCGUUAAUCAAAGAAAAAAUUGUAUAUGACUUCUCUUUUGUAUAGAAUAGCGAUUCGAUCUUAAACUAAUUUCGAGUCGAAUAUGAGUUGGCUCGUGAACCGCGAGCUGAAUUGCCAUCCCCAAGCCCCAGCAACUUUUUUUAUCUCUUCCGCCAGAUUUUGUUUUCGGAUGAUGCAAGUGCAAGGACGAGCCUUCUUCCGUGGCCGUGGGCUUCUUUUUUGGAAGCUUUUUAACUCCUUUUUUUUGAAAGUAGACCCUUUUCUCUUUUUCGGUAGGUAACAAUUCUCUAUAUCUGGCUCUUUCUAGACAUUGCAGCAGAUAGCAACUUUUCCGCUUCCUAUGUUUUUUUUUGGAUUUCAGGCUGGUAGGCAUUGUGUGAAUUGGUGAAAGCUUUGGGUGUACCUUCUAUUUUUCACAUUUAUUGAACUUACCGGGCUCAACCCAUAUAGCUUUAAUGACCUUAAAGUCCAAUGUUGAUAAUUUACAAUCGUUCUCUUGUAACGAAAAUUGUUUUAGAACUAUAGUUGUUUUAUAUUAUUUAAUAUGGUAUUAGAACAUAAGUUUUGAGUUUGGAUCCUGUCAGGCCUUUACUGUUAUUUUAUUUUCUUCUGUUUAAUUUAAGCUCACAUCUUGGGCGUAUCAAAAUAUUUCCAACCCAAAUGUGAGGACAAGUGUUGAAUACAAAUACUAAAAAUAUCAUUUUCUAGUAGAUUAAACUUUUAAAGAACAAUAAUUGUUUCGUAUAAUUUAACAUCCAAUGUACUUGAAUUUUUUUAAGAUAUGUAUGGUGUUGAUUUAUGCUGUAUUGCUUAAAUAUUUUUUAUAGAACUGAACAAGCUUUAUAAGGGUUAAAAAACAUUUUUGUGGGCUCCUUUUUAUGAUUUUGUUUCUAUUUUUGUUGCCCUCUUUUGGGAAACUGACGUGAAAAUGAAGGGAGCAGCGAAGAACUUGCCAGGGAGUUGUACUGGACGCAUGGAUGCAACUUCGGUUAGCACUUAAUUCCUUGAAGAACGACUAAAUUAAUUGCAUUAAAAAAAAAUUACUGACUCUUUAAUUUUGUUCUUUCUUUUUUAUUUUUAUUUGUAUUUGCAGUGUUUCUUUCCGCAGAACUUAGUGGCCAGUAUUCAAACACCAACUUUUCUUGUAAAUGCAGCAUAUGAUGUAUGGCAGGUAUGUAACAAUCUCUACUUCUGAGAUACAAUGUCUUUGUUACUGCAUCCAUGGAAGGUCCUGGUUAAUUAAUUGUGUUGAUUUUUUCUAUUUUACUUCGUAAAAUAGUUCUGAUAUGUAGGACUAGAGAUUGUUUAAUCCGCUUUAACAGUUUUCUUUUUCUUCUUCUACUAUAUUCUCAGAUACAGGAAAGUUUAGCGCCCCCAAGUGCUGAUCCUGAUGGUAGUUGGAAAGACUGCAGAUAUAAUUAUCUAAAAUGCAAUUCGACUCAGAUGCAGUUUUUGCAAGGUAUAUUUCUGUUUUUGCCUCAUCAAUCAUUCAGUCUUAUGCUAGAUGGAAAAUCGUCGGUAUAAGAACAUUAGUUAGUACGAAUGACUCAAGGUUGCUUGUAAGUUGCAAAUCUAAUCCAUUAAGUUUGACCUUGUCUUUAAAUUUGUCUACGUAGUUUUAAUUGUUUCAUUAAAGAAAAAGUUUUAAAACAUCAAAAUGUAGUCCCUGGAGAUGACACACCGGCACCAUCAUUGGAUAUUCUAAAAUUAUGAGGAUGUAAUCGAAACCAAGGUCAGACUUCAUCGAUAGAAUUGAAAUCUAUGCCAAACUUUAGGGAUUAAACUGUUACAGUUGAAACUCUGAAGAAACUGAAUCCGAAGAUUGUAGAUCUUAAAUUUUCUAACUGUCCCUGAAACUCAAUUAUACAGGGUUCAGGAACCAAAUGGUUACUGCGGUGGAUGGUUUCUCCCAGUCUAAGGGAAAUGGGUUAUUCCUCAAUUCAUGUUUUUCUCAUUGCCAAUCUGUUAAGCAGGAUACUUGGUAUGCAGAUGAUUCUCCUGCUAUUUCAAAUAAGGUAUAACUUCUUUCAUCUUAAGGUAUAGUUUUAAAUAAUGACAUGCUGAAUUAUUCUCAUUCAAUUAUGGAAAAUAAAAAAAAAAGGUUAAUUUUCAUUGAUGUGCAUACGUACCUACAAAAUUAUCAAACUUAAGCUAAGGAUGCUUAUCCCUGAAACUGUAUUUUCGACGAAUGUAUAUAUAUAUAUAUAUAUAUAUAUAUAUAUAUAUAUAUAUAUAUAUAUAUAUAUAUAUGUGAAAUAUAUGAUUUUGCAAUGAUAUAUUGGAUAGCCAUUCAUUCAUAAUUAUCCUUUGGUUAAUUUGUGGAAGAACAAUUUGAAUUAGCACACAAUGUCUCUUACUUAUCUGUUACAGAGAGGGAGCAAUCACCAGGUAUACAUUUUUUUAAAAAAAAAUUUGAAAAUGAACAUCCAUAGUAUGACUUUGUAUGGGAAAUCACCAAGUGCAUAUUAUAAGAAUCUCAGGAAAUGGAAGUCCCAGCCCUUCCAUCCUGAUCGAGAUUUAGCUUCUUACACACAAAUAAUUAUCCUCUAUUGAUGUUUGGUCACAUGAAUUAUAUAUAUUGUAUAUUUUAUAGCCUAUGAUUCAACUUUCAGGUAGAUUUUAAUGGGUUAUUCUGGUGCAGGGAAUUGCCAAAUCUGUUGGUGAUUGGUAUUUUGAUCGAGCUGAAGUGAAGGCCAUUGAUUGCCCGUACCCUUGUGACAAGACCUGUCACAAUCUUCAAUUCGGCCAAUUUGGCGAGGAUCCUAAUUCCUUGGAUUAGAUUCUCUAACUUAUUGCCCUAUUUAAGUAAUCAAAAGACAAUAAAAACACAAGAAACAAGAGAAUUUCUCUUGCUUGUGCAAAUUAUAUAUCUUUCCGUUGUUCUCCAAAUGGUCGUCCCUCCGCUAAGCUCGUUUGAUGCCUUUUUAUCUUCUUGCUAAUUAAUCAUUACUAGCUUUUCCGGGUACAGCCUUGUUCUUUUGUUCUUUUGUGUUGCUACCUUAUCUCCUUUGCAUCUUAUAGAUACAAGUAUUUGCUUUGCGCAGUCGAUUAUUACAAUCAAGAGAAAAAAAACGAUUGGGUUAUUAAGGCUAGUUAGAGAAACUGGCUCUACAAAUGGUUGUACAUUUGCAAAUUUGCAAGUAACACAGAUAUCGAAACAAGCCUUAUUUCAGUAUUUCCGUACGAAGACAAAUUUUGUGCAAUUGUGACUUAUCAAUUGAUUAGACCUGAUUUAUAGUUGAUUCGUACAAAUUAAGAAUCUUACUUAUAGAACCAGAACAGAUCGGAGGAACAGGAUUCAUAUAUUAUAGCUAGCCCUAAAUAUAUUUGGGGCCAAAAUCAUUCAGAAAGAACUCCCAUUGCGCAUGCUGCUGCUACUCUCGAUUCAUUCAGAAACAACUCCCAUUGCGUAUGCUACUACUCUCCUCUUGAUCAAUGUAAAAUUUUACAUGCACUCAUAUGUUAAAACUUGGUAAGGUAGACAAUUCAAUAUUGAGAAUAUUCAGGGAAAAGUAGAUGUGAGAAGAAAAAGACAACACUGGUUGCGCCUUUGCCUUUGCCUUUGUGCUGGGUAUUUAAAAGUGUUUCUUCUUGCAUUGCUAUACUCCUCACAUAGAUUUUCAGAUGGCAGACUUUGUUCUACCGGGAGUUAACAUUUGAAUUCCAAACUCAAAUUAUUAUAUAUGUAAAGGAAUAGUAUUUAUUAUCUGUUUCAAUGUCUUGGAGUUUAAAGGUGGUAGGCGUAAUAUUUCUACAUAUAUGCUAGCUCCAUUCUAUAUAUAUAAUACUGCUAAACCAUUAACGGAAGGUUACAAAACAAAUGGAAAGAGCUAAACUGGAAUCAAAUUUCUUCCCUCUUCUUUUUUUCUUUUUUUUUUUUUUUCUUUUUUGUUUGAGAGAGAGAAAAUUCCCAACUAAUUUGAUCCAUUAAAACCACAGGAAAAGAUUUGGCACUAAAUCUCACCAUGCAACUAAUUAAUAGUCAUCCAUGGGGAUUCCCUUAAAAGCAACAAGUUCAAAACUAGAAAGACUAACUCCCCUGAUCGAAGAGAGGAUCCAAACACUACUCUCAAAUCUCAAUGGAUGAUAUACAAAAUUAAAUCCAGUGGAGCUAGCCAGCAACUACUUGACGCACGCACGCACGCAUUCAUGCGCGUAUGUACUCUGGACAUUAAUACAUGCAUGCGGCGUGCUGUGACUUAUUUACAGAGAAGAGCAAUUAAGCACGCUGCAGACGCUGCACCGCCACUGCUUGGAUCAGGCGCGGCAGCUGCGAUCGGGUUGGUGGUUGGACCUGUCGAGGAUGGACCACAUCACGCGAACAUCCUCGUAUCCGCACGCCAUGACCUCCCCAUGAAGUAUCAUGCCAUGCUGAUCAGUUUUAUGAUGCCCUGCAACGGCGACAGCAGCAGCAGCAGCAGCAGCAGCAACGCUUGUUAAUGGUUGGUUGCUCCAUAUAGCUAUUGUAUUUAAGCACUCCCAUACCGACAAUAUAUACAGCUUGUGCCAGAGGCCAGGCCUAUAUAUAUUUAUUUAUAAAGGCGUACAUGGCCGGCGGAGUACUCAAGUUUCAGCAGCAGCUCCCGCUGUCCGGGAUGAUGUAUUCAAACUCCGGAGCAGCUAAAAGCGCUGAUCACAUUUUUAAAUCUAUGUUUUUCAUUGCUUUUAGAUCCGAAAUUAAUUCUUUGGAAGUGGAUCUAUAAGCUCAUUCAUGCUUUUCGCCUCGUAUCCCGAAUCUCUCUGUAGGUUUCCAAAUUGGAGGAAUUAAUUAGCACUUUAGUUUACAAGUUUGGCUAUGAAAUAGCUAGGCACUAUGUAUGUUUGUAUAGAUAUUAGAUGAACCAUGAAUCAAUUGCGACGGAUAGGUAGAUAUAGAUUGUUGGUUAAUUUGUUUGUAGCAGUAAGUAGGUGCGUACCAGCAGCUGUACUCUGGGACUUGCUGCGAUCUCUGUUGGGUGAGCUGAAGAGGGACGAGCAAGCCUUUCUAAAUGGAGAAGUGAUGGUGCGAACCCAUGAACCACCCAUGUAUAUGAUCUCCUCUUCUUCUUCUUCUCCUUCUUACUGUUCUUAGAUUCAGAUUCCGACUCUGCCCAGUACCAGUAGGAGUAGCAGCGGCAGUGGCGGAACGAAUCGAUUCACAAGCUCUACCUACCUUCUCCGCACUUGUGACUGAGUAUAUCUAUGUGUUCUGUAUAUAUAUAUAUAUAUAUAUAUAUAUAUAUAUAUAUAUAUAAUAUAUAUAUAUAGAGAGAGAGAGAGAGAGAGGAGGGGAACCAAAUCGAUAGAUCGAUCGAUCGAUCGAAGGAGGAAGUGUAUAGGGGGGGUGGUGGAGGCAAGGAGUAUGAGGCAAGAUCGUGAGUUAAGUUCUCUCUCGAGAUUACAUGAGAUGAGAUGAGAUCAGAGACAUGAGACGCGCACACUUUCAAGCCAUAUGCUUCACAUUAUUCCCGAUGAGUUUACACCGGGCCGGCGUGCUAUCAAUUAUAACUACUUUUUUAUAUAUUCUUAAUGUAUGGCUAUCUGACAUGCACGACGUCUGAAAAACAGUAAAUAAAAAAAAAAAGACAAAACACAAACAAAUGCAGUCCAAUUAAUCUUGCGCGUAAAAAACUAAAAAGCCUUGCAUAACAUCGAGACGUAUAUUUUAAUGCGGCUAUUCAUGGGAAAUAUAUCGCUGUGCUCUCAAAGUUUUUUUUUUUUUUUUUUUUUUUUUUUUUAAACAAUAAUAAUGUAGUUCGUUUGGCUGUAGGCUUUUUUUAACUCUUUUACAUGGUACCGAAGUUAAGGUUUAAUAUUUUUUAUUUCGAGUCCUAAACCCAAGAAGCAAAUAAUAGUUGUAAUAAUAAUAAUAAUAAUAAUAAUAAUAAUAAUAAUAAUAAUAGUAGUAGUAAUACUAAUAAUAAUAAUAAUAAUGAUAAUGAUAAUAAAAGAAAAGGACAAAGCUCCAAAGGGUAAAGAAAUUAGCUAUGGGCAGUUAUCCUUGGUCUCGUCGAUGUCGGCAGCCAACCUCGGCAACAUCGGUUUACUUACGGCAUCGUCUAUUUUUCUACGAAUUGAGUCCACUGCACGAGGUAUUUGGUUCCCAAACCUGUCUUGACUUCCUUUGGUAUUGCAGACGGCAUGUAUUCCAUAAGUAUGAUAUAAAUUAAAUGUGUGUACAUCGAUUCCAUCAAAUUGUAAUUUUGUAUAAUUUUAUUGAAAAAAUACAAAUAAAAAAUAUAUAAAAAUAUGUAUAGUAUAGUAAGAACUACAGCAGGUUGAAUUGAAAUUAACAAUAUAAUAUAAAUAUAAAGAGUAGGGCUAUUGUGCUUUUAAUUUCUUAACCAUUCGCAAAUUUUGUACGCUAAAUUUAAUUAUUUUGCUUAAUAAAUGAACCAGUACCUCUUUCUCAAAAAAAAAAACCAUUCACAAAUUUUGAUGAUCAAUGGUUAGGACGAGAAAAAAAAAAAAAAUUAAAAAGAAGAAAAUUUAAGAUACUCAAUUUCUCUCCAAGUCAAUGGAUCCAAUUCGAUCUCAGAAUGUGAUUCAUUCGUCUCGAACCUAUCCUCCUCUACAUUAGCCGAACUGAAGGCUGGACUGUGCAGGUAGGGUCAAAAUGAAGGCAAAAUAGCUCAGAAUGGGUUCAUUAUCAUUCGACAACCCAACCCAGCCUCAACAUAUAUGGGCCGAGUUGAAUUAACACGAUUAAACCUAAUGUAAGCUGUAAUUUGAAGUAAUGACGAGAAAUCUUCACUCUCUCUAGAGUCAAGGGGAUUGUUUAAUAUCCAAGUUGCGUGAGCUAAUUAUUUGUACCACAUCUGGAAAAAAAAAAAAAAAAGAAGAAGAAGAAAUUUAUGUAUAAAACUCAACAAAAUUACCGGAGGUUUUAACGAUCGGGUUCAAAAGACUGAAUAUUAAUUGUUAAUGCCAUUUGAGAGAAAUAUAUAAACGGAUUAAAACUCCAUUGAUAAUAACGCAAAUUAUCACGCCCAUUGGAGAGAACGAAAGUGGCCGCACAAGUUAUACAACGAAGCCAUAAACUGGACGAGACAUAGGUGCGUAUUGAGAUUUGAGGCUCUAGUUGCUUUCUUUCUUCUUUCUCUUUGUCCAUUGCUUCUCCUAUUCCAUCACCUAUUUAUUGUACGUACUAUAUUUCUAUUAAUUUCUUUUAAGAUCUAAUGUUUAAUUUGUACUCCUUUUUAUAAUACAUAAAAACCUUUCAUAGGAAAUCGCCCUAUUUAUCGAUGUUAAUCUUUUGAGGGUCGUUACCGGUGCUUUCUCAUGGCACUUUGUAACAUUCACAUGAUCCCUACACAUGAUCCCUACACAUGACCUAUCAUCACCUACUAUAUAAAUUAAUGUAGAGUAAGAGAUGUAAUCUCCAGCUUAAAUUAAGUAAAAGGUUAAGGCCUACUCGAUUCAAUUAUUUUGCAUCAGAUGGAAGGUCUUUUGGACAAGUGGCAAUGUAUGAUUCGAGUUGUAAGAUUACCUUCUACAACUAGCUAGCAAGAGUUGUAUAUAUAUAUAUAUAUAUAUAUAUAGGGGCCCUCCCGUGCAUAUUAUUCUUUUCUUUUCAUAUAAAAAGAAAAUGUAUUGGCACUAGGACGGUAGGACCUAUAUAUAUAUAUAUAUAUAUAUAUAUAUAUAUAUAUAUAUAUAUAUAUAUAUAUUACACAACUUGUGUGCUAUUUUCAUUGUAAGUCAAUUAAAUAAAGGAGGUCCAGUAAAUAUUAUUUGGCGUGCAGAGGGGGGAUGAACUGAACUGAACUGAACUGAAGUGAACUGAACUGAAGUGAGGAGGCUCAAACUCUCACUGCGGCUUGGGCGGCAAAAUGCUCACCUUCUUAUGAUUGACACGUUCGGACUCCCGUCGUCGUCGAAUUAAUAACAAUAUAUAUAUAUAUUGUGACAGCAUGAAUCAAUGACUGAAAAAAUGAGAGAGAUCCGCGGCCACUUUUGUCUCUCAGGCCUUUUUGAAGACCCAAGUGCAUGUUACUUAAUUGUCAUCAAUUAAUAAUUAAUCUACUCAUUUUUCUCACAAGAAGCACGAGAACGGCAAGGAAAUUAAAGUGGUGGUUUUGGGAGACCACGGUAUUGGCCCUUGGCCUAUCUCGAUCGGAAGAAUUUAAUCGGAUUUAGCUAGACGAGGCAAUUGCUGUCUCAACUAAUCGUUCGUGACUCGUGGUGACUGAUAUUAUAAUGUAAUGGAGAAAUUAAUCACUACACUAACCGCCCCUAACGGCGUGAAGAGUUCAUUGUAGUCGUCAGCUCCACGGAAGAGGCUAGGACGAUUUUUGGGUCAGCCUUUGGGCCGUAAGCUUGGCCCCUUAGCAGAAAUCUUUCACACUGGAACCUCCUGCUGCUGCUGCUUUUGAAAUACUAGACUAAAUUAUUAUUAUUAUUAUUAUUUUUGAGAGAUAGGUAGUGCGCUACCCGCUUCAUUUAUUUUAUUUAGAAAUAAACUUAGCUGAAAAUAUGAAUCAAGUAGGAUUUGAACUUGGGAUCUCAGAUACCAACCACCAAAACCUUUGCUACUUGCUCUAGGGCCGGUCGGUAUACUGGACUAAAUUUUGAACGUGUAGCUUCUGGUGCAAUGCUAUCUUGUACAUCCAAAACGUGUAUGUGUAUUUUACAUUCUAUUUAUUUAAAUGUUAAUAUUUUAAUACUAGCAUUAUUAAAUUUUUUAUUAUUAAAAGUAUUUUUAAAAAAUAUCUAAAUUCUUGGAUUUGAAAAUUUUAUAAGCAGCAAUCUUUUUCUUUUUUUUUUUCCCUAGCUAUGAGAAAUAAUAUUUUCGGUACAGAAAGAAGAAAAAAAAAAAAGAAAAAGAAAAUUCUGGUAAACUAUUUGAGAUUAUUUUUACCGGCUACAUGGUAGCUUAUUGCAAUUUUCAUCCCCCCUGAGCGAAUUAUUAUUAUUAUUAUUAUUAUUUUGAAUGCAAUUUUUAUAUAAUAUAGUAGAACGAGAAAUAAAUUGCUUGCACUCUUUAUACUCAAGUAUUUAUUUAACAAACAAAAAAUAAAAAUAAUUUUUUCUUUCUUUUUUGGCUGCUUUUAAUUUUUGUAAAUAGUUCUCAUUCAUCAACCCUUCCGAACACACUAUAGACUAAUCAACUACCACAGUAAGAGGAACUCCUUGCUGCUUAUAUAUCUAAUAAUAUAAAAUUUGUGUUAAAACCAAAAGAGACAACGAUUCCAAAUAGGAUCUAAAUAUAAAACGUUAAAUCCAAAAGUGUCUUUGUUUGUUUAAUUAAUAAAUAUCUGAAUGUUGUACUGUUUCACUGCUGCCGCCCAAUUUCCUCAAUUUAUCAGAGAGAUUUAGUGCUCAUCACCAGUUUGGUGGGUCGUAGGGGUUUUCAUUUCUAAUUGAAGGAGCUUCUGCCUCUGAGAAUUGAAAAGAGCCGAGUAUUUCGGCCAAACGAUAAAGCAGCACUGUAUAAAUUCGGUAUAAUGGAUGAAUUCGAAUUGUCCAAACUAGCUGAAAUAACUAAGCUAGGUAAGCCGUAAUAAUUAAUCAACCAUAGAAAUGUGCAUUAUUUUAUAUUAUAUCGUCGAGUCUUUUUAGAAAUCAAAGCAGAAGAAAUAUUAAAAUUCAUUCAGAAGCCUAGAUGAAUGAAAUUAAUCCUUGUCGGCGGUCUUGAUAUGAAUCAUGCAUGAAUGACUAAUUAAAAUGAUCGAGUAUCGGCAAAUGUUGAGAGAAUCUUAAAUUUGAAAGUGAUGAUUUAAGUAAAAUUACUUGUCAAGUCCUUGCGGGACUCGUCUUCCUGCGCGAAAUAAUCAAAUCUGUCUCUCCACUUGCUUGUCCGGAUCUACAAUUAAACCUGUCUCUCCACUUACUUGUCCGGAUCUACUUGUUUUAUGACUCAGAGAGAGAGAGAGAGAGAGAGAGAGAGUGUGAGUGUGUUUGAGCAACGUUGUAUUUAAUUUAUCACUUGAGAGGGUAGAUGAAUACAGCCGAAUUAAUAGCACAUUAUUAUUUGAGAGCGAAUAAAUACAAUUAAAUUAUCCAUAGAAGAUGAAGGCCGCAAAUAUACAUAAAUCUCUAGCCGUCCAAGAGAGCGAACAGAAAAGUGCACCAAGCAGAGCAAAGCUACAAACAAAAAUAAAAAAUUACGAGCUCCUAAAAAACUACAUUUAUUAUAUAUUUAGGAACUCAAAAAAACACUUGAGUACUUGACUUUGGCGUGCGCAAUCUCGAUACUAGCUAGUGAAUACUUUCAGAAGAUUCUGACAAAUCUCGAAGAAUAAUUUUGUUCAGAGUUUGGAUAAUUGCAAAGCAGUAAACUGUCAGAAAAUUCUAAGUAAAUCAUCCAAUCAAAGAGCAAGACUAAGAUCCAAACUUGCUCCGUCUUGAAGACGCUGUUCCAAAUGAUUCUCCUCAUCUUUCCUUAAUUUUCCCUCCUCCUUUUCGUUGCCGGAGGGAUGCUUGAAGUCCUCCAACUGGAAAGUCGGCCUCCACGUCGGCAGCGGAGGUGGCGGUGGCGGUGGCGGUGGCGGUGGCGGUGGCGCCUCCUCCUCCUCCGUCCUCAACCUUUUGCUGCUUGCGCUGCCACCGGCGUCCCCAUGCUGCCGCCUAAAGAGGUCCUUCAGAGCUCUUAAGUUCCCGAGCAGCGCAGAGAACUUGUCCAUCUCUUCACCUAAUUCCUCCUCCUCUUCACGUUUUCCCGCAGCUUUCCCUUUCGCGGCGCAUGGAUAAUUAGGACCUGUUGCGGCGGCCGCCCCUGCUGCCGAUCUCUUUCUACUACUCUCGUAACUCUCCUCUUCCAUGUCGAUCAACGCCGAGUUCAUCAACGUGCGUACGUAUAUAUAUAUAUAUAUAUGUAACACUACCUUCUCCUUCUCCUUUUUAUUCUGUUCGUCUUAGAAGAAUUAAGAGAGAGAGAGAGAGAGAGAGAGAGAGAGAGAGAGAGAGAAAAGGAGAGGGAGGAGAAGAGAUGUACCGCACGGCGUUCUCUCGCCCCAGGCUAGCUAUAUAGGUGUAUAUAUUUUUAUAUAUAUGUAUGUAGCGUCGAUCACUCGGCCUUUUUUUGGGGCGCGCGAGACAUGUAUAUAUAUGUGUGUCUGUGUGUGCGUGUGUUUCGUGCGAUCGAAGGCUCUUGAUAAAAAGAAAAGCGGAGGAGCACUGAUGACGCCGGCCCACGAAUUCCACACCAGCAGAGGGCUCAUUUAUUUAUUUAUGAUGGAAGUUGGUUCCUUUCUCUGGGUUGGCGCGGCGUGUCAUCAUCCGUCCUUUGACGGAACCGCCCUUCUUUCAACUUCUCUUUCCAUGCCCUGCACAUGCGUCGGCACCAAACUAGCUAGGUCCAAUCCAAUGCUCAAUUCCUUUGUCGGUCGUACCUAGCGCAGGUUAAAUUUUAAAUUCUAAUUUAUUUAUAUUUUUAAUUAAAUUUAUUUUUAAAUUAAAUAAGUGAGGUGGAUAACAUAUUUUUUAUUUUUUUUUUAUUUUUUUGAUGGAGAAAUAACUCACAUGAGAUAAUCACUAUGCCCUUCAAUUGUUAUGGCUAAUAACCUGAUAUAUUGCUAGCUUUGUUACAAAGUUUGAUAGAUUUUUUUUGAAUAGAAGGCAAUAUUAUAAAUGAUCAUCCAGAGCAUUUUCUUUUCAAUAAAGUGAAGCUGGAACGUCUGAAUUGAAUUUUACAAAAAAAGAAAAAAAUUGAAUAACCACCAUGUAAUUUUAUCAAGUUCAAUUGUUGGAAAAGGUCUUCUACGAAAAUAAUAUAUCUAAUAAAAAACUUCCGCAUUGCAGAAACAAAUAGAUCAAAUUUUUUUAUUUGAAUCGUAUUUUAUUUUGAAUAUUAUUAUAUUAUUACUUAUUAAAUUUUUUAUCAUUUUAAUUAUAUUUGGUAAGAUAAAUUUUAUUUAGUACAUAUCUUCUGUAUAUAUGGUGGUGCAUUUUUUCUUUUUUUCCAAAAAAAAGAAUUGUUUGGAUAAGAGAAUUAUCUAAUUAAUUAUUGAAACAGGAGGAGGAGAUGGGCAUUGGUGGAAAAGAGAUGUAAUUGAGUUGUGGGGUUUGUGGCUGGGUUGGGUCGGUUUCAACGGACUCGACUCAGCAAGGAAAUUGUGCCGUCUAAGUUAUUGACGCCAGCACGAUUUGGCUGACGUGUAUGAGUGUAUCUGUGACGUCAUACCUGCUGACGUCACAGCAGUUGCCUGACUCUCAGGAUGCGCCGCCCAUUAGAGGACAGAGGGAAAUUAAUUCUAAGCAGACGUCCCCAAAUACGAUACGAAUUCUAUUCUCUCCCGGGAGACAAUUUUGAUUUUAUUUUAUAAUACCGGCGUAAAAUUUAUAAUCUUUACACACACACACACACACACACACACACACACAUAUAUAUAUAUAUAUAUAUAUAUAUAGAGUUGAGCUAAAAUACUUAUAAAAGUAUUAUGUGAGUUGUGCUUUUGAGUUUUUAGUCAUUAGAUGGAGAGAUGUGAGGUUGAGAUGAUGGUGGUAGAUGGUGUUAGGUGGUGGUAGGUGAAAUAGUGUUUGAUCCAAGGGCUAUUAGUAAUCAAGUAGUAGAUCCAAUGACUAAAAACCUAAUAGCAUCAUGGGGGUAAUACUUGUAAAAAUAUUCUAGCUCAAUUAUAUAUAUAUAUUAUAAUACAUAUAUUCAAGCUCCCCACAAAUUGAUUUUAGUAGAAUUGGUGGUCAUUUGAAGACACGAAAAAGAGUAUAUUCAAGUAGUAAUCCAAUGAAACUAAAAACCUAAUAGCAUCAUAGGAGGUAAUAACUUGUAAAAAUUAUUUAGCUCAAAUUAUAAUAUAAUAUAUAUAUAUAAAUGAAUAUAUAUAUAUAUAUAUACUAUCUCGCCACAAUUGAUUUAUUAGUAGGAUAUUCGUUGUGCCAUUUGAAUACAGGAAACGAUAAUAUCUUGUAGAAAUAAUUCAGCCGAAUCCUAUGUAUUGUAGCACAAGCUAUACAGCUUCCAAUCGGCCAGUGAUUACCUUAGGGGUUGGCCUCAGCUUUUAAAAAAGCGCUUUUUGGCUGAAAAAUAAUUUCGCUAAUAGAGCGCGUUUGUAACUCACUUUUAUAAUAAAUAAAAAUCUGAUCUGGCUUUUAUGCCCAUAGAUAACUGUAUUGAAAGCUCAAGAAUCAGAAGCGAAAAAGCUGGCUUCUGAAAAUCUGAUUAUGAUUUUGAAUUAAAACUUCAUUUUUAUUUUAUUUUAAUUCAAAAUAUUUAAAUUUAAUCUUAUUUUAUUUCAAUUCAAAUUUCAAUUCCAUUUGAUUUCAAAUUUCAAAAUUAUUUAAUUCAAAAUUAAAAUUUCAAAUUUCAUCAAAUAUAUAAUUUUUAAUUCAAAUAUAAUUUAAAAUUUUAAAAUUAUAAAAUUUAAAUUUUAAUAUUCAAAUUUUAAAUUUAAAUAAUCAAAUUAAUUUAAAAAUAUCAAAUUUUAAAUUUUACAUAUUCAAAUUUAAAUGAAAUGUAAAUAUCAACAUUUUAAAUUUAAAUUUUUAAUUCAUAAUAUUUUACAUUAAAAUUAAAUUUAAUUUAAAAUUUAAAUUAUUUUAAAUAUUAAUAUUUAUUUUUAAUAUUCCAAUAAUUAUUUAUAUUUUUACAUUAAAUUUAAGUAAAUAUUUAAAAUUCAAAUUUUUAAAUUUAGAUUAUAUUUAAUUAAAUUUAAAUUUCAAAAUUUUUAAUUUAGAUUAAAUUUUAAAAAUUUAAUUCUAAAUUUAAAAAGUUGAAUUUUAAUUAAAUAUAUUUUUUAUAUAUUAAUUUUUAUAUUCUAAAAUUUAUAAAUUAUAUAUUAUUUUUUAAUUUAUAUUUAUAUUUUUAAAUUUAAAUUUUAUAAUUAUUUAAAUUUUGAAAUUUAAAAAUUAAAUUAUUUGAAAUUUAAAAAAUUUAAUUUAAUUUCAAAAUUGAAAUUUAAUUUUAAAUUUUUUAAAAUAAAAUUAAUAAAAAUAUAAUUUAUGGCAAAUAUCAAAAAAAAAAUUGUCAAACAAUUUUUCAAAUCACUUCAAAAAAAGUCACUCUAAUCUAAACUCUUGGUCCAAAUACUCUACAGCUUUAACCAAAAUCACUCUCCAAACUAAAUUAUUUUUCAGAAAUCACUUUUUCAGAAGCUAGCAAACAUGGCCGAUGCCAACUAAGGGACCUCUUGACCUUUUUUUUUUUUUUUUUUCUCGUUCGGCUCUCUGAGGGCGGCCUUACUCACCCAUAAGUAGUUUAGUUUAUAUCUUAAUGAAUAGCGGGUAGCGUGCUAUCUUUUUCUCAAAAAAAAAGUAUAUAUAUAUAUAUAUAUAUGAGUUGAGCUAGAUACUAUCGGUAGUAAAACGAGGCGUUUACCUACCGAUUUGUUUCGAUGAUAAAGCUUCCAAAUCUGACACGGCUCUCGUAAAUAUGAUCUAUACAUUAAACUAUCUAAAAUAAAAUUAACGCACUCUCGAUAUUGUUCUUUUGUCCAACAAUGAACAAAAAAUGAAAGGCUGAAAAAUAAAAUACUCUUUUAAAUAUGAUGAUGAGUCUUGUAUCAGCAUCAAGACAGUAUACGAUCUUGUUUUAAUAGUUUAAAAUAAUUCUAACAAAAAUCAAUUGAUGGGAGUAUCUUUUACGGCGUUAACGAGAAAACGCCUCUUAUUUGACUAUAAAUUACAAAUUUUGAAACAUUUGAUCCAAUUAGGCAAAUGAUGUCGAAAAAAAAGACUUGAAAUGUGAUUUCUAACACUUCAAUGAUAGAUUCAAUCGUUCAAAACAGCCGAUCGCAUUUGAAAGUCUAUCAUCAAAAACAAAUCGGUAUUAAAAACGAGCUCGUUACUACCGAUAGGUAUGUCCCUAACUCAACUCUCUCUCUCUCUCUCUCUCUCUCUAUAUAUAUAUAUAUAUAUAUAUAAAAUUAAGAUUCUAUACUUUUAAAAGUAUCAAGUCAUUGAUACUUGUAAAUUUUUGGUCCUUAGAUUAGGAGAUGCGCGUUUAAGAUGAUGUGGCCCAGGGUUAAGUCGUUAGUUGGUUAAAUAGUAUAACUUUACUUUUGUCCGUACAAAUAACAGAGUCCGAAAAGAAAACCCGACCAACUCCCCUGCAAAUUCGGCAGCAGCAGCUGUCGGCAUCUAAUUCCACCGUACGUUAAUGCUAAAGACCCACCGGCCACCGGCGGCAGCGACCGCCAUAAAGCACUCUGACCGGCAGGCAGGAGCGGAAAGUUCCCGAUGAACUCGGCACUGGAGGAACCGAGUUCUCCUGUUUAGGGUUUAGGGUUUAGGGUUUAGGGUUUACCGGUGCCACGUGCUGCCGGCUUUCGACAAAAUUCCGCGGGGUGGAGUGGAGCCGUGGAGGGGGGCUGACUCGGCGCCGAGUUCAUCUCGAAGCCUGAAGUCGGUCGAUAUUUCUGUUUCUCGGCACCGUGAUCUCUUACAACUGUUUCCGAGCGCUCGAGCCUUCGCCGUCGCCUCCUUGUCUCCCGUGGCUGAGCCCUCUAACGUCCCUAACGCUAACUCGAACCUUCGAUCUCAACUCCGAUCGAGGAGAACGCCGAGGCCACCGCAAUCUAUUGCUCCGGAGGGAUCCGCCGACUCUUCAUAUCUGCUUAAUUAGGGUCGGUCUCAUUGUUUCUCUGCUUAGUUAUCUGUCUCAUUCGUUCUUCGUUUAGGCUGAGAAAAUUACUGCUCUUUAAUUAAGUUCCUUGAUAAUUUUCCCCGCCUGUUGUUAAUUCGUGCUAGAGUUUUUUAUGGGUCCGAACUUGAUUGUUUCUGAUUUAAGGUCGUAUUUUCCUUCAAUCAAUCGUGAGAACUAGUAAAUGGUCCUACGCUGAUUUUCUUGUUCAGUUUGGCGGAUGCUCGUUUUUUAAGUUCGUUUUGAUUAGACUGGGAUUGUGUCCGGAGCAAAGUGGGAAGCAGCAACCUGUGCUUCAUUUAAGCUGAACUUACUAUAGUAUGCACAAGAUAAUGAUUUCGUAGAUGUGGAGAAAAUAAAAAAAAAUUAAUUUGCGUUAGGAGAGGAUUUGAUCUUUGAGGCACACAUUGGCCGAAGAGUUAAAUACUGCAUUCUGCGUGGUUGUAUGAAUAUAAACCGACGCGUCUUUACGUUUAUGGUUUGAACAGAAAUUGGGAGUGAUUUAUUUCAUGCGUUGCAUAUUGUGUUGAAUAGGAUAUAUAUGUCUCUAUGAACUGGAUUGACGUGGGGAACUUUUUUUGGAAAUAUGUUCAGAUUGGAAGUUGGAAAAAUGGGGCAGAGGCAUUAAUUACAUCGGAUUUAGAUUAUGUCUAUUGUUAUUCCUAAUCUGAUGUGUGUAACAAAUCCAACCAAACAAGAAGACCCAUGGCUGAAGAAUCAAAAGAAACUAUGACACGAAAACCGUACUUUGAUAAUAGUCGUUUUACUGACUUAUAAGACUGCAAGAUCAUGAAUUAUUUUGCAUUUACCAUGAUCAAUCUGUAGGUUACUCUGUCCCAUCUAAAUUAUUUCAUUUACACGGUAAUCACAUGUUGUUUGGUACUAACCUCUUUUGUUCUGCUUCUUUAUGCGCUGUUUCUGUUCUCUGCACUUUUGUUCAUUGUGUUUUAAUCAGUCGGAGCUAGUCUUAGGGAGGGCAUUCUGCUGGUUAGUAUAUAGUAAUUUUAAUAUGCCACUAGAGUUAAUUUUUACAUGCCUCAUAGCUGGAUGAAAACCAAUUUUGGCUUUGUAGAUGUUUUAUAUAUCACAAGGUUUGGCGGACUUUUGUCCUUCUUCUUCUCAAAAGAGAUCUCAGCCAUUUUCCUCUGACGAAUGUCUGCGAUAUCUUCGUAGGCACGCCAAUUUUGUGGUCCUGCCAUAUACCUUCUUCUUUUACCGUGCAGCAUACAAAGAUGGCCUUAGUCACAAUCCAAAGAACAACCUACGCUAAGUUCAUGAUCUCAACUUAUAAAUCAUCGUGACAUCUAAAGAAGGCUUCUUCAAAAAGUUGUAGUCUAUUACACUUGAUAAGUGGCAGUGCACUGAUGGCUAUUGCUGCCCACUUGGAUAACAAUGUCGGUUUGGCAAUCAAUUACUUCUUUUUUUUUUCUACUCUCUUCUCUGAUAAUAUCUGAUAAUAAUUACUAAGCAUAACAAACAUCUAUUGUACUCUACCCGAGUGGUGUUCAUCUACUUUCUUAAAGUACUUUCUGAACCAUCAUGUAUUUGUGCACAGUUUAAACUAUGUCUCACCUUCAACUAGGAAGUCACACAUUUUUAUCUAGGAUUAAUUACAAAUCUAGACCUGAAGUUUGACCUGAGUUUCAAUUUGUCAUUAGAAUGUCAAGUGUAGCAAUUAUCUUCCAGAAGUGUGACCUUGCUUUCAAUUUCCUUCCUAAAUUUCAUUUCAAUUUGCAAGUGAUUACCCUGCAUAUAUUGUAUGCAAACAGAUAGUCGUCUUUGUGAUUGAUGGUAUUUUUUCACUUCAACCAGAUUGUUUUCUGUCUGGUAAACUAAUUCCUUAAUUCUGAAUUUGGAGACGCCUGACAAAUACUUUUAUUGUAACAUAUAUUGCACGCUAGUACAUGAAUAUGGUUCUUAGGUAAGUUAAAAAUGAAAUCACAAUCUACCGAAUCAGGAAAUGAAUUUAUUUAAUUGGAGUAGAAUUUCAACUGGUUAUGAUGCUGUAGGCUGGUAUAUGUUUCAUUCAAAUUCUCAAUGCUUGUCAUACUGUGUUGCUUCUACAUUUAUUUUUGACGUGUAGUAUAAACUUAUAGCAGUAGCCUGUACCGUUGUUACCGUCUGGAGAAAAGGAAAAACAGGACUUUGCUGUUUACUGAUAAACUUAUAUCACUAGCCUGUACAGCGUCUAAAUCUAUGCGUAAUAGAAGUAGGGGACUUUGCUGGUUUCAUAGAGCUCAAGACAAUCAAUGACGAUGAACUAUUAUUAAGUUGCCCUAACAAUCAAUGGUACAACCGACCGUCCCUAGAGCAAGUGGCAAAGGGUUUGAUGGUUGGUACCCGAGACCCAAGUUCGAAUCCUAGCUGAUUCACAUUUCCAGCUAAGUUUAUUUCUAAAUGAAAUAAACGAAGCAGGUAGCGUGCUACCUAUCUCUCUCAAAAAAAAAAAAAAACAAUCAAUGGUACAAUCUGCACAAUUUCAUUUUUUUCACGUUUAUGCUGCCCCAUUGUCUGGGUGGUCCUGCGUGUGCUCUUCGCGCUCUUCAUCUGAUCACUAUUUAUCCCUGAAUCUUUUAAUUUUUUUGAGAUUAAAGCUUAUCCCUAAAUCUGAUUAUCUUAGAAAUGAAAUUUAUUGGUUCUUGUGGCUAGAGAGUUGAAAAUGUGACUAUCAAGGGCCAUACUGCAGAUUAAAACUCGAUCCGAGAUUUUGGGUUGGCUUACGAGUGAUUGAACUUAUAUUUGAUCUCAAACCCAGAUAAAUAUCAAACACAAUGAAAUACAGGAACUAAAAUUUGAAACUGGGAGUUGUUUGGGUUAUUUAAUUAGUCUGCCAGCCCUCUUCCUUGCCUUGGUUGAACUCUAUUUCUAGAGAUCAGAUUCUUGGACAGUUGAGGAAGCAAGGGAACUUUAAAAGGAGUUGGCGGCCAAACCAACUUUCUUUCUUUGGUGAUUAGUAUACUAGAGUUUACGUCUAUUGACAUCCACUUGAUGCCACACCUUAUCAAUUUUAGAAGAGGGGAAAAAAAAAGGAAAAAAAAAAAAGUAAUUUGGAAAAUGGUAGCCAUGGAGUUGCUACAUUUUCUGGGGGGUGGGGGAAUUUGUGAGUUGGUACGUUCUUAGUUGGUUGGUAUUGAAUAUUGAAAGCGACCCACCCAAAAUUCGAAGCCAGGAAGCUUUUAUAAUGACACAUUUUCUUAGGCCCUUUUUUUUUUUUUCUUUGCUUUUCUUUUUCUUUUUGUGUGCGUGCCCGCGCGUGUUUUGUAAAAUAAUUUUCUUUCGACACUUGCUAAUUCCUCCUCCAAUAGAGAAAAGCUUUCUCUAUAGCACAAUGCUACUAUAUAAAAUGCCUUUUGGGAAUCACCUAUAUGGUUUAGUAGUCAAAAUUCUUUCCUUAUUUUUCUAUUUUUUAGCUUCAAAAAAAUUACUUCAGUUUUUUUUAACCGUACCUAGAGCAAUGGACUAAAGAUUUGAUGGGUGAUGCUUGUGAUGGAAACUUGAAACAAGUUAAAAUUCUUAACUCUAAAAAAUUUGAAAAACCCAGUGGUUUACCCGUCAUUGUUUUCAAUUUCAAAAACAUAAAGUAAUCAAAUCCCAGCCUGCGAUUAGAUUUGUUUUCUUCGACCUCUUCUUCCUGCACACACACAUAUAUAUAUAUAUAUAUAUAUAUACACACGCCCGCGGCUCAGGAUGAACGCUGGCGGCAUGCUUAACACAUGCAAGUCGGACGGGAAGUGAUGUUUCCAGUGACGGACUGGUGAGUAACGCGUAAGAACCUGCCCUUGGGAGGGGAACAACAACUGAAAACGGUUGCUAAUACCCCGUAGGCUGAGGAGCAAAAGGAGGAAUCCGCCCGAGGGGCUCGCGUCUGAUUAGCUAGUUGGUGAGGCAAUAGCUUACCAAGGCAAUGAUCAGUAGCUGGUCCAAGAGGAUGAUCAGCCAUACUGGGACUGAGACACGGCCCAGACUCCUACGGGAGGCAGAUCUUUUUGAUAUAUAUAAGGUAUCCUCCGGAUAAUUCAAAUCGAAGCAAUUUGAUGUCUGACUCAGGCCUAUAUGAUCGAUCGAUAGAAAUACUCCAACACUCCUUGAAGUACUUGGAAAUCUGUUUCAAAUUGUCAAGUAGCAAAUAUUUCUUUAACACGAUCUGAUUAUGAGUUAUUAAAUGGUAAGAUGAAUAAAAAUUCGCUAUUUUAGGUACAAUAGCGCCUAAGAGACCUAAAGAAUCCCUAAUUGGAAUUAGGGGAUCCGAUUCUUUUGUCAAAUUGUUAUAUUUCGAACUAUUGAAUGGACCAAUUCGAGAACAAUUGGAUGAUGACAAAAUUAUCAAAGAUUGGCAUUCCUUAUUUCGAUUCAACAACGUACCAAUAGUUCCUUGAUGUUGGCUAAGUGAUUGAAUCUUCGCCUUGGAAUAAAAGGGAUUGAUAUUGGUGCGAUCUAAUCCAUUAUCGGGAAUCAAUCCAGAACUUGCCCUAUCAUACCUUUUUCUGGUAUACGAAAUAGUGGACUUGACUAACUCAAUUUUUAUGACACACAAUCUUUUUCUCUAGUCUCACAUUUGCUAGUGCUAUCCUCAUCUUUUCUCGACAUUGAUUCUACGACGCAAUCACUGAAUAAAGUAGAGAUUAUAUUCACCCUCAAAUCUUCAUGAAAAUAUCUUUAUGAAAAUACAGCUAUCAUCAAAAAGCAUCUCACUGUCACUAACUGAAAAAUAAGAUAAUUUGAACGAAAUUGGAAUACUAUCAAUAGCACAAAGUGUUUUGUGCUAUUAAAUUUUCAGUUCUUAAAUAAAAAAUAUAUAGUUAGGAUAAUAUGGGCCUCCUAAGGUUGAGUGAGUUAUUGGUUGAAUAGUAUAAUUUAACGGGUAAAAAAUAUACUACCAAUUAUAUCAAAAUAUAUAUAUAAAGAACUAUGCUACUAUACUAUUAAUAGCACUAAGCAUUUGAUGCUAUUAGAUUUUUAGGUCUUGGAUGAAGAGAUAUGCAGUUAGAAUGCUGGUGGUUAGAAUGAUAGUGUUUCCUUAGAAUUGAGUGGUUAGUUAGUCGAAUUGUAUGAUCUAACGGAUGGAAAUGGUUCAAGAAGUAGAUCUAACGGCGAAAAAUUCGAUAGCACUAAGCAUUUAAUACUAUCGAUAGUAUAGUAGCUGAAUAUAUAUAUUCACUUGCAAUCCAUUUGGUUCGGGUAGAAGGAGUGGGAUAAAGGGGUUAUCCUUUUCUUAUUCCCGUAAAUAAUUCAAUUUUCAUCCAAACGCAAAAUUGAUCUAUUCCAAAUUUAUAUCUAUCACUGAAAUAGCUAAUUCUUACUUAUAGCUUAACCGAACGAAAUCACAUUGUUUUUACGUUUUAGGGGAUGUUCUUAUUCUCUCGUGGCUUAUUCUUUGUACCAAUAAAAAUUAAAUAAUUUGGUUAUGGUAGUUGGUGAGAAAUAUUUAUAUUUAUAGUCAUUAAUGAAACGAUAAGACCCAUGGAAAAUGGUAUUUACAAGCUGAUUUCAGCUCUCUCUUUUUGUCUCACACUGCUGUUUUGCCUUUUUCUUCUUUUUGUUUUAUAUUCCUCAAUCGACCAAAAAUUAGGAUAAAUUACUGUCGAUCUAAUUAGAUCUUAUAGAUAAAAAAUCCUUCCCCUGUUUAUCAAAAAUAUUGGAUUUUAUUAAAAUUACAUCGUCCGUAUACGGAAUGAGCAAAUUGCUUAUUUAACUAAAAUUUGAGCGUCACAUGGAGGCUUAAAAUAGCCGAAACAAGCCUGGCCACCCAAUUUGGGACGAUGCGGUACGCAUGAAUGCAUGAGUGCCGCGUAGGAGGAGAUGGUCGCACAUUGCAGUCCAUACAUUUAUGCGCAGAUAAGACAUUUGUCGUGCGGUGAGGACGCCGCAGCGCACAAGAGUCUUUAUCAUAUCAUAACAAUAAUAACAGCUGCAUUACUAACCGAUCGUUUCUGACACAAAAGGUAAAAGAUUUGAAGGUUGCUGUUCGAGAUCUCAAUUUCGAAUUUUAAUUAUUACAUAUUUUUAACUAAAUUUAUUUUUUUUAAAAAAUAAACAAAAUAGGUAGCAUAUUAUCUAUCUCUAAAAAAAAAGCAACAACAGCUACAUUAUAUAAAAUAAAAUACAUUGUAAAUAAAUUAAAUUGCGUUAAAUAAAAUUAUAAAAUGUUUAAUCACCGGCAUAUAAUAAUAAUAAUAAUAAUAUAUUAAAAUAAUAAUUGUAAAAUUUUAAUAUUUUUAUAUUAUAUAAAAAUGUUAUUUUGUUGAAUAUUAUGAAUUUAUGUGAAAUAAUUGGUAAAAAAAAGACCUUUUGAGAGAAAGGUAGGAUGCUACCCGCUUCAUUUAUUUUGGGUCUCGGAUACCAAUCAUCAAAAGCCCUUUUACCACUUGCGCUAGGGACGGUUAGUACUUCAUAAUGACUUUCAAUUGUAGCAAAACAUUUAUUAAAAAAAUUAAUUAAACUAAGUAAUAGUAGAUAUUAAAGUUUAGCUUAAAACUUAAAAUAUUAGGAUCAAAGUAAAAAAAAAAAAUCAUUGAAUAAAUCUGAAAGAAAGAAAACAAAAUAAACUAAUGAAAAAUAAAGAAAAUAAAGGAAUUUAUCGAUGAACAAUAAUAUUUAUACAUCGAAAAUAAGUAAGUUUUAUAUCUUUUUUAUUCAAAAAAUUAUUUUCAUACAAAUUGUAUAUUUAUUUUUUAUACUAAAAUUUUAUUAUUAUAAUUAUUUUGUUAGAGAUAGGUAACAUACUACUCGCUUUGUUUAUUUCAUUUAAAAACAAACUUAGUUGGAAAUGUGAAUUUUGAACUAGGGAUCUGGAGAACCAACAAGCACUUUGCCACUUACACUAUGGACGAUCGAUAAAAUCUUAUUAUAUUACUAUUAAAAAAUUAUAAUAAUUAUCCUGAUAUUUGAGGUUUGAAGCUCAAAAUCUCACUUUCUCUAAAUAAUGAUAAUAAUAAUAAUAAUAAUAAUAACAUAGUUAUCUAAAUCUUUGAAGGAAUUGGCUGCAAAAUUUACAUCGCGAAGCGAAUUAUGGGUUGGGUGUUCAAGCAGCAUUUAUCUUUUACACUCGUUCAAAGAGGUAGCUGCUGCGGCUCCUCUGGUGUCCUCUUGUUGUGCAGGACGGUCAGCGAGCCAAAUAUGAAUUGACUCAAUCAUUAAAAUAACAAGUUAAAAAAUUCAGUUUGUAUUCAAUUUAUUUAUUAACGAGUCAAAUAUAAACUAGUUUGCGAGCAGUAAGUUAAAUUGUCAGUUCUAUUACUGAGUUAAAAAAAUAAAAACAUAAAAUUUUAAUCUAAUAAUUAAAUUUUACAUAAUAUGAUAUAUAUAUAUAUAUAUAUAUAUAUAGAGUCCGGCUACUAUGCUAUCGGUAGCACGGAGCGCUCCGUGCUACCAAGUUGUUUUCGAUGAUGCGGCUUCCAAAUCGACGAUCGGCUCCGUUAGACUUGAUCUACACUUAUUGAAGUAUUUGCCAAACUAAAUUUCAAAUUUUUUCGACUUCAUUGACUAGUGAUCAAAAGAUUCUCAAAUUGACAAUUUUAAUGGCGAUGUGUGUGUGUUGUGAGUUUAACGGUGUAAAACAAUCCAAAUGGGAUGAAAUUUUAUAGAAAAUUUUUUUCACUAUUUAGAGUAAGAUCAGUAUAUCUGAUCUUGAAUUUAAAUCGUUUAUCAGCAUUUUUUAUGAGAUUUUUAUUUUCAGCGUUCAAUUUUAGACUACUUGUUUGAUAGGUAAAUGAUAUCGAAAAGUUAUGAAAUUUAGUUCUAAAUACUUUCAAUAGUGUAGAUCAAGUCUAACGGAGCCGAUCGUCGAUUUGGAAGCCGCAUCAUUGAAAACAACUUGGUAGCACGGAGCGCUCCGUGCUACCGAUAGUAUAGUAGCCUAGUUCUAUAUAUAUAUAUAUAUAUAUAAUAUAUAUAUAUUAUAUAUAUAUAUAUAUAUAUAUAUAGAUAGAUAGUUCGACUGAAAUACUAUCAAUAACACUAAAUAUUUGGUGCUAGCGAGUUUUCCACCGUUAGAUUUAACUCUUUGAUUAUUUUUACCGGUUAGAUUAUACUAUUCAACCAACCACUCACUUAACCCUAGAGGACCCACAUCAUUCUAACCAUACAUUUCUCAAUCCAAAGAUUAAAAAACUAAUUGCACCGAUAGUUUGGUACUAUUGAUAGUAUUUCAGUCUAGUUAUAUAUAUAUAUAUAGAGAGAGAGAGAGAGAGAGAGAGAGAGAGUUGAUUUUGUGUGUUAUUAGGAGUAUGGAGGUCUCCGUGCUCCUGAGCCAAUUUCAAUAAUGGAGCUUUCAAAUCGAUGAUCGGCUCCGUUAAACUUGUUUUAGUGUAUUUGAAAAUAUCUAAAAAAUAAAUUUUGUAAUUUUUCGAUAUCAUUUAGCUAACGAUCAAAAGAGUUUAAAAUCGAGAGGUAAAAAUAAAAAUUUCACAAAAAGUGAUUUAAAAAUAUCUAAAAAAUAAAUUUUGUAAUUUUUCGAUAUCAUUUAGCUAACGAUCGAAAGAUUUUAAAAUCAACAGCUAAAAAUAAAAAUUUCACAAAAAGUGAUUUGAAAAUAUCUAAAAAAUAAAUUUUGUAAUUUUUCGAUAUCAUUUAGCUAACGAUCGAAAGAGUUUACAAUCAACAGCUGAAAAUAAAAAUUUUACAAAAAGCGAUAAUAUAGCACUAAAAUUUUCAAUCAGAACAGUAAAUAGUAUACAAAAAUGUUUAUGAAAAUUUUAUUUAAUUUGAAUAUUUCUACACUGUUAAACUUGCAAACGAUAUUAGCUCAAUCAUUGAAAAUUAUUGAUGUUGAAUCCUUUCAAUCACUAGAUAAAUAAUAUCAAACAAUCAUUCAAUUUAUUUUCUAAAUAUUUUAAAUAUGCUUGAUCAAAUUUAACUGAACUAAUCGUCAGUUUAAAAAUUUUAUCAUAAAAAAUAAUUUAAGAAUAGGAAGUCGUCCGUCCUCCUAUUUGUCUUCUUAUUUUUCUUUUUCCGGAGACGCUACAGGAUCCGCCCCCAUUUCUCCUUUUUCUCCUUACGGUCAAAUCAUCUCUAUUUUUUCAACUGAGCUGACACCGGCUCGUGUUUGCUCGUUAAAAUUUCGAUCCGAAAACUUAAGUUAUUUUUUGGCUUUAUUAGAAGAAGGAUUUUUCUCGAACUUUUUUUAAAGCGAACGCAAAGAGGCACACGAAUAUCGCGCUGAAUUACCGACCAAGUGCGCACCCGCAUCUUUUUUUAAUUUUAAUAUUUUUUGGGGUAAGAGUACGCUACAGGACCCACCACCCCCCACUUUUCCCUUUCCUCCUCACAGUCGGGUCACCCCCUCCCUCUUUUCGACUUGCCGUUCGUCGGUGGAUGAAGCUUCCGAGACACCCCCACCACCGCAUCUCCCUCUUCUAACCUUUUCCUAUUCAUCUCUCUCUUUCUCUCUCUCUCUCUCUCUCUCUCUCUCUCUCUCUUUUUGUAUGUAUUAAAUACUUUUUUCUGUCUCUCUCUCUCUCUCUCUCUCUCUCUCUCUCUUUCCGUAUUAUAUUAAAUACUUUUUCCCCUUUUUUCCUUUUUCUUUUUUGGCCCCCUUCAAACUCAUCUCAUCGUUCAUCGGCCUCUUCACGCCUCCUCUCUCUCUAUCUCUCUCUCUCUCUCUCUCUCUCUCUCUCUAUAUAUAUAUAUAUACACACCUAUCACCCAUCCAUUUAUCUAUACAAUAACUCCAAGCGAGAGAAGAGGCCUCUGGUUCUUCUAUCUCCUCUUUUGUUGGAAUUCCUCGUUCUCGAUUGCAAGCAAUUCCCCCAUGGAAGAGGCACAGGGUACGACGCUUCUGCUUCCUCUUUUUUUUUUUUCUUCUUAUGUAUUUAUUAUUAUUUAUAUCAUUUUUGUAUAAAAAAUCAUUUAUUUAUAUCUCCCAUGGAAUUCGCUAUUGAGUCGUCGUCAGUUUUGUUCUUUGGUUUGCUUUUUCCUGUUGUUUCUGCAAAUUUCUCGUCUUUCUGGUCCCUUUUCCAUCAGAUUUAAUCUGAUCGCACUAGUAUCGCUGAAUGUUACCAAAAUUUGAAAUUUUUAUUUGUUUAGGAGUCUGUGUUUCAAUUGGCCUUGUGGUCCUGGGGAAGGAUCUCUUAUCUUUAUCGAGUUAAAAAUUUCUGAAUAAGGAGGCUCCUUGUUCUCGCGGAGGCACAUUUUUUUCCUACUUUUAGCCUUUGGUCUUUCUGAAACCGAAGGGUAAAAUUGCAUGUGGGGUUGUUUGUGUGCAAAAUAGUAAACAUCCUAGAACUAGAACUACUAGUCGGAGUAUCUUUUAAUCAUUCGCAGAUUAUAUGUGUAUAUUUGAUGCAUGCUGUUCUUAUGUGUGAGGACAUGCAUGCUGUUGGAAAUUUUUGGAUUGAUGCUGGAACAAGUUUAGCUGCUUUACACUUCCUUGAUUGUGAAGGAUGAUCGCUUUCCGAAAUGCAUGUUUUUUUUUUUUUUUUUUUUUUUUUUGUUACUUCUCGUUGAGCACCUGAUAGUUAUCUUAUACAUAUUCGGCAGCUAGAUUUGUUCUCGCAGAAACUUCUGAUGCUCCAUCAUUUUUUUUUUCUUUCAGCAGAUGUAUUUGCUGAUGCUAUAUAUUUUUCCUUAAUUCUUCGCGAGUGAUAUUAAUGAUCUGGCUUAUGGUUGUCGGUGCCAUUGUUGCGACUUGCGGUCUUGAAAGCUCUUCUAACCAUCUCAUCAAACUUAGAGCAUAUCAUGUAUCGCGAGAAUUUUUGUUUUGCAUCAUGGUAUUCUUCACUUAGUUUUACUAAGAUUAUUGUUGUCCUCUUACUCACCACGAGUGAUUUUUCUUACAAAUAUGGGUGUUGAUAUCCACUUUUAUGCUUUUAACAGUCUCACUUAAUGAGUAAGUAUUAGGUUAGAUAGACUUAAUAUUUGAUCAUCUAAUUUCUUGGUUUCCAUCACUUGCGAAAUUUGAAAUGGUUUUUAUUCUCCUUCUUUUCUCCUCUAUUAUAUUGUUAGGAGAAACAAAAAUGAUGUUGACGUGUCUUGAAUCUUAAUUGGUUGACCUCUAUGGUUUUUUAAAUCUCUAUUUUGCUGCCAGUUGUGGAGUCCAAGGACGGAACUAUCUCCGUGGCUUCUGCUUUCGCUGGUCAUCAUGAAGGUAAUAGUAAUGCUUGCAUUCGCUCCUGAGAGCAGCUAUAUUCUUUGUCUUCAGACAGGAAUGAUCUGUAUGAGUGUUCUUUUCUUACCUAAGCUCUUGAUGCUUUAAGCAGCUGUACUAGACAGAGACCACAAGUUCUUAUCGCAAGCAGUUGGAGAAGCUUAUCACGGAGUUGAUUGUGGUGAUGGAGGCCCUUUUGGUGCAGUUGUUGUUCGUAACGAUGAAAUAGUUGUCAGCUGUCACAACUUGGUUUUGAAGAACACCGAUCCUACUGCUCACGCUGAGGUGACUGCAAUUAGAGAGGUAACUCCUAGAAAACUCUUUUCGAUUGUUGUUAGUUUGAUUGUAUUUUUGCAUAUAUACUACCCAAAAUGUACAAAUCUGCCUGUAUACCCCUCAAUAUUUUUUUUUCUUUUUCAAAGUUCCCUAAAAAAUUUUCGAUAUGCAUCUAUACCCUUAGAAAUACCUCACGUUUGAGCGUAUAUCUUCUUAGAAAUAAUCCAUAUUUUUGUGAAGCCAUGAAUCCCCUUCCAACUCGAGAGCUUUUUAAACUGGAAUGAUAUGAUGGAGUGUACAUGCUAAGAACAGUAUAUGGAUCAUAGACGUUCUUUUGGUUCCCCAUAUAGUAGCAGCAUAGCUUUAUCUUUUCGUUCUGGUUAUAAAUUUUACUCUAGUCAUAUUAAAACACUUAGAGCAGCACCUCUGUGUUGCCGUUUCUGUUUUAUGACUGGCCAUCCUAGUCAUUCUGCCAAUUACAUUGGAUUUCUCCUAUAGAGCUAGCCUUUUUCUCCCUGUGUUGUCGAGGGCGUAAAUGCAUGCCUUAUAAUAAUGUCAUUUCAUUUGAAGUGUAGAUUCAUCCUAUCUCCUGUGAAGUAGAAUGUUUAGAGUGUUUACUUCUGACAACUGUAGGUCAAAGGGGAUAUUCAGCUCAAAGUUAAAGGGUGCAGAUUUUAGGUGGAUGAUCUUAAUAUAGCCAAUGACCAUUCUAUUUUGUUGUCUGGUUAAAAAGCAGGGCACCGUCAUGUAUUCUAACUUCAUACCUUUUCCAUGUGAAACAUCAAUGACUAUUCACUACAUCUUGCAAAAUCAGUAAUUUAUUUCGUGUAGUCUUCAUUUUGCAUUCCUUUAGAAAACGCAUCAGAUGAUGUAAACUUUAGCAUUUCAUUAGGCGGUCAAUUGAUAAAAUUCUGGGUUUCCGCCUUUAUUUUUAUUUGUCAAAUGCUCGACAAUCUUUCCACACUCUAGGAGACAAUUUUUUAAAGAUCUUGUGAACUAUGUAUUUAGGGAGAGUUAAUUUCUCUACAUGUUAAGAAGGUACUUCGCAUUCAAGUCAAUUGUCAUAAAAAAAGCCUGCUAAGUCCAACGAUAUGAUUCGAUUUGCACUGAUUGAUAUUUUAUUAUGGCAGGCUUGCAAAAGGCUUGGGAAGAUAGAGCUCUCCGACUGCGAGAUCUAUGCAUCAUGCGAGCCUUGCCCGAUGUGUUUUGGUGCGAUACAUCUUUCCCGAAUCAAGGUUUGCCUUGCCCUUUCUUUUUCUUGUGAUUUCGGAGUUGGGACUUUGACAUGUAUACCCACUGCAGAGUCAUCUAACAUAUGUGUUCCUGUAAAAUCUGAGUAUACGUAUGUACCCAUCGAAAGGUAUAAUUAUUUACAAAAACACCCAUAUCACUAGUCUGGUAGUCAUCCAAUUUAUUGGGGAAGUUUGAUUUGUGUUAGAAAAUGUUUUAUGAAAAAAGGUGGUACUUUGUGAGUAAAAUGGUUUGUAUGUAAAGAAAAUAAUGAAUCUUUUGGAGGGCUAUCUGAAAGAUUUUGCUAGUGUAUAACUGUAUAUGUAUGGAAAUGGAAAAUUUUACAGGAGUACAUGUGUAAAUAUGUCUUUAAAAGUCUCAAGCAGUUAUUGGGUUGAGCUCACCACACCGCUAUUUGCUUCACUUCUUUAAUAAACAGAGGUUGGUAUAUGGAGCGAAGGCGGAAGCGGCAAUUGCCAUUGGCUUUGAUGACUUCAUUGCUGAUGCUCUGAGAGGAACUGCAUUUUAUCAGAAAGCCCACCUGGAGAUCAAACGAGCUGACGGCAAUGGAGCCAUAAUAGCAGAGCAAGUCUUUGAGAAAACAAGGGAGAAGUUCCAAAUGUACUAAAAAUUGCUUUGUUUUAUUAGAAGACAACGGAGAGGCUUUGGAUUUAAUCAAUGCCUCCUGAUGCUCAAAAGGCGAAGCAAUUCUGUUGAAAAUUUCAUUCUUAAUAAUCACUCUGAGCGGUAACUCGUGGUUUCCGUUGUUAUGACAUUUUCUUUCUGGAAGGCAAAAUGUCUCAAAUUGUGUUUUUAAUUGAUUUUGUGAGUGUAGUUGAAUUUGUUGAUGCUUGUGAUUAACCUGAUACUUGCAUGUUCGGCACUCACCACUUACCAAAAUGAACAGAAAGGUGAAACUGGUUCGGUUGUUUUCUGGAUAACUCAUGAACUAGCUCUUCCUGCUCCUUGGAAUUUAGUUCCACCUACUCCUUGGAAUUGUACUAUUACGCACUAAUAAUGGUUUACACCUUCGAGCUUAGGCUUGUUCCGAGAACCCUAAUAAUAGUUUACUAUGGGUGUAUUGACUUAUGAGGAAUAAAUUCAAGGAUGAUAAGACAUUUAUUUUAUUGUCUUAGCCGUUUGGCCUUGUUUGGCAUUGAAAACCGAAUUGGACAGAAUAAAAUGAGAAAGAAAUAUUAGGUGUGAAAGAGAAACUAUACAUGCCGUGCAUGAAAGGAGAAUUUUCCAUUGUAUAUCAUGGGAGAGAAGAUGCGUGUGUUGUCUUUUGCCUGCAGCUAGGGCCUAGGGGUGCAAUGUGGGCCGUGCCGGGCAUGGCACAGCCCAGAUUAUCUGGGCCGAUUCAGGCCCAGAGGGCGGCCCGGCCCGUCCCUGUUACGAAUUCAGGCCGGGCCGGACCGUACCAGCCCGUUUAUUUAGAGGGGAGGUCCGACCCGGCCCCCUGGCCCGCCCGGAACGGGCCGGGCAGGGCCGGGCCAAGCUUUUUUGCCGGCCCAGUAAUAGGGAAUUUCUUCCUAAUUGUCCUUUUUGCAUUUGUUUUAAAAUUAUUUUUUGAAGUAAAAGAGAUAAGCAGUUUUUAAAUUAUAGACUUUUGAUUCAUAAUUUUUAAUUUACAUAAUAACAUCCAACUUUUUUAAAUUUUUUUAAAAAAUUUUAUAAAUUUUAAAAAAAAUUAAACACUAACAAUAAAUUUAAAUUUUUAAUAUUGUUAACUAAUAUUAUAUAAAAUUUAAAGCUUAAAGAUAAAUAAAGGAAGAGUUUCUGUUGUGAUGAGUUUGGAGAUUUUAGAGGAGUAUUUAUAAAUGCAAAAAAAUUUAAUUUUUUAAAUAAUAUAAAACAUUUUUUGACCAAAAUGCCCUCUCUAAUAGUUAAAAUUUUAAAUGUUAGUGAGGGCAUUGUGGUCAUUUUGAUUAAAAAAAUUUUAAAAUUGUUUUUAACCAUUUUUUUUUUAAAAUAAUAUAUAUAUAUAUAUAUAUUUAAAAGGAUGGGACCCAACGGUUUUAAAUGCCGUUGGGCCCGUCCUCAAGGAAAAAUUCUAGAAUGCAACGGGUAUAUUAGUGACGUGGCGUAACAAACCAAUCAAAUUAAUCCUUUUAAGAAUAUAUGUCCCAUUAUGAUUGUAAAAAAGUAUUUUUAUUGUACUUUUGUUUGAAAAGGAGGAAUGUGAUUGGCUUGUUAUUGAUGACGUGGUGCAAGUGUGACAGUGUAGAAUUCCUCGUCCUCAAGAGAUCAAGCCAUCAGGCUACAGCACGUCAGCACCCUACGUGUAGGCUACAACCUACAUGUAUUCCCAGGAAGCCAGGACGGCAGGGCCCAUCAAUUUCAAAUGCUAGGCCGGGCCGUGCCUGCCAGGCAAACACGGCCCGUGCCGUGCUGGGCUGCGGGCCGACAGUAGGCCUGGUACGGCCUAGGCCCGACGCAGGCCGUGCCGUGCCUGGCCUUCGGGCCGCAAAAACUAAGCCCUGCACGGAUGCUACAGUAAUCAUGCCGGGCCAGGUACGGCCCGUAGUCGUGCCAGACCGGGCGGCCCGUUUUACAUCGCUACCUGCAGCUAGAUUAACUGAGACUUUAUUUUUCCAAAAGGGAACCUUUCUCUUUCUGUCCCGUUAAAUAAUUAUUCUGUUCUCGAAUCAGAAAUUGAGCCUGGCAUUAACUACCUCAGAUUAUAAAUUUGAUUAUAAAUUUGCUCUCUAGUACAACGCAUUCCGCUGUUUCACCUGCUGUAUUUGAGAAGGCCUCGCUCUGCUGGUCUCCACAUCCUCUUCCUGAAAAUUGACAAUGAUGUGGGAAACAAUGUUGCGUCGAGAUGAAAUUCUUAACAAUUUACAAGAAGAAAAUCCAGACAAUAAAGAAAAUAGUGGCACAUUCCUUCUUGCAUACACUUGUCAGUCAAACAUUACUUGGGAAAGUAAUAGAAACCAAUGAUUAAACCAUGCAGCUGUUUUAUCUCCAAAGUCUGAACCAUGCAUAUGAGAGUCUGAAGCAUACAAAUUUUAAGGACGAAAAAAGAAAAUUAAGAAAAAAAACUGUAUAAUGACAAGUUCCAGCAGUAACUGUCUGUCACACAAAUAGGCAAAGUAAACAAAUGGCAAAAAUCAGAUAAUGUUAUAAAAGAUAAACAAGCCUCCCUUGAAUAUAAGGUGUAUAGAUAUAUAUAUAUAUAUAUAUUCAUCAUACACAUGCGCACUGCUCUCCUCAUUCACAUUACAGUAAAGCCAUCUUCAAAAAGGGACUCACCAACCGACUUGCACCAGACUCUUGCAACAGUAAACCCUCGUUCCCAUAACAAACCGCAGACUGGUCAGGGACUUGUCUAAGUGGCUCGCACAAUUCCGGAGAGACCAAGUUAGAAUACCCUUGUAUAUAUGAACACCUCCAUGGCGGAUUGGAUGCCACGCUAAGCGACACAUUUGACAAGCAAAUACUACUAAAAUUAUCCCCCUGAAUUCCUUCUAACAUCCCCCCAGUUCCGAUAUUUACACCCACGAUAUCCUGUAUAGUUAUUCUCUCUAUAAUAGGGAGUGCAUUUUUAUCAUACUUAUCAUCGGGGUGCUCGCCAUACCGACCGGUGAUCCUAAUGGCGAUCGUCACGUUACUCAUAUUGAUAUUUUUAAUGUAGAUGUUUCUUAUGUACCCGCCGCGGCCUGGAGAAGUCUUUAUUCUUAUUCCGUGGAGGGAGUUCAUGAGGUGAAAGUCUUCUACGCUGAUUUCGGAGAUGCCGCCAGACAUCUCACUACCAAAGGCGAUGCCAGCCCCUGUGCCAGUCUGGCCACUUAUGUGGCGGACACUGAUGUUCGUGCUAGGGCGGGCAAAGGAGAUACCAUACUCGUCCCACCCACUCUUUAUCACAAUCAGGUCAUCGCCCGUGCUGAUGUAACAAUCCUCGAUGCACACAUUGCUCGAUGAGUCUGAAUGCAAUCGUAGCUAAUAAUAUUACUACAGGAAUACAGAUUCGAUAAAUUAAUCCAGAAAAAGCAAGAAACUAAAAGUAAACUAAUUAACUCAAAUUAACAAACAAAUUUCAUAGUCGAAGUUGAUCAAUUAUGUAACCAAUGAGAAUGGCUAUGAUAGCACAGGACAAGUAGAACAAGUCAACAAGAAAGGACUUCUUCUUGCUGUACCCAUUGAAGGCAGGAAACAUGCUUAAAAUCAGUAGAACAAGCAAGGAAAAAACAUCAGAAAUUAUAAGUAAGACUUACAACAUUCUUUCUAAAUAUAACUUUUAUAUGUUCCUGAAAGAAAACACUUUAGACUUGAAUGAACACCCAUUCAACAGGGCAUAGGUAGACUCCCACACCAAAAGAGAACAAGAAAAAAAAAAAAGAGUUCAGACUUCCAAAACGCAUUUUGUGUGUAAAAUGGGAGUCAAGGAUCCCGAAUUUUAUCAAAUGUAAUUGAGUUUACUUGUAAAAAAGCACGAAGAACUCCUAUUUUGGAGUAGUUAAUAACUGAAACAGGAGAUGUUAGGUCCAUAAAAUCCAGCAUUCAUUAUCACUUCCGAUGAACAAUUAAAAUUUUAUAUUUCUACGAACCCUCUUAUGAUCUAAUGUCAUGAGGGUGAAUUUGGUUGGCAUUUUUUUCAAUUCAAGACACCAGGGAAUAAGUGUAUAUCUGGAAAAUUUCUAUGAAUCCUCUUAUGACUAAAGUCCUGAGGGUGAAUCCAGUUGGCAUUUUUUCAACAAGACACCAACAAGAGAACAAAUAGGUGUAUAUCUGGCAAAUGAUUUCUACAUCUGACAUUUUUGGCAUCUGGUAUUUAGAUAAUCACUGUUACAAGUUUUUUUUGUGACAAAACCAUCCUCAAUUUCUAUUCGUUUGAAGACCAGUAUUCAAGAUACGUAUAUCACAAUGUCAUAGUUCUCGACAACGCCAAAUAUGCUACUUGAUAAAAAUAGGAGCAGCUUAUUCUUUCUCAUCAGUAUCGGAACAACAAGAUAAAUGAGUAGGUUGCCGACAAGAAAAGUACAAAAAUCAAAGAAAACAAAGGAUAGCAAUGAGAACAAUAACUAGUUUAUGCUCUAGAAAUGUCGAGAAUACCUGGAUCAAUGCCAUCCGUGUUUGGUGAAUUGAGCGGCGCAAGGAUUGUGACAUUCCGGACAAGCACUUGGCUGUUAAUUAAGAUAAAGAUAGUCAUUCUCAAAUAUCCCCCCACACAUAAAUCUCCACUUGUGCAUCAAUUUAUAUAUUUAACAACAGAGAAUUUAAUCCAACCAAGGACAAACCUGCAAUAUACAGGAUGGAUGGCCCAAAAUGGCGAAUUUACGAAUGUUACAUCUGAGAUAACCACCCCAGUUGAAUACAUGAGCUCAAUGAGGUGGGGCCGAGUAUAAUUUAGUGCCUGGUUAUGAAACCAGUCCCACCAAAUGCCUCCUUGACCGUCAAUUGUACCAUUACCACCUUGAAGAAAAUGAGCAUUGAGAACUUACAUAAUUGAAUAACUCAUUAAGAAAAGCAGGCCAGAGGCUAUAUUGUCGUUAAUACUUACUGACCAGUAAUUAUCACAUCUGUGAGAUUGUAUCCAAAUAUUAAGCUUUGAUGUCUUCCGCCUGGCAGCUCUCUGCCUCGCCCAUAUGAAGGAAGCGGAUCGAUGACUGGCCAAUCGGAGGAAUCCUGAAGAGAGGUAAAUAUGAAAUAACUUAUUUCCCUUCAAUAUUUAUUUGAAGUCAUUUACUCUGCCACUCAAUUUAUGUCCUCAUCUCCUAUACAGUGCUACAAAUCUAAACUACAUUUUCGUGGUCAAGAAGAAGACCAGAAUGUUCUAGCAAAGUGCAGAGCAAACCCAGGAAGAUAGCCAGGUCCGACGUAUCAGUUUAGGCUUCGGUUUCAGCAGUUCUCGUGGCCUCUGUGGUUUUGUUUCAGUUUUGGAUGCUAUAAAAUUGUCUCCAACUUCUCAUAAGAUCAAAGCAAACAAGAUCACGGUGACAAUUAUAAUAAAACUUGAUACAACAACACCUUGAUACAUCAAAGUGACAUUUUAUGCUAUCUUAUAAAGAAAAUAGUUAACUUUCAUACUGUUGUCCACAAAAGGGUUAGAAAUAUUACUUGCCCGUAGAAGGCAGUUUUGGCAAAUUUGCUCUGUAAGUUCUUAAGCUAAGAUUGCUUUCAAAGCCAUUCCAACCAAAAUUGUAAUCCUUUUGUUUUCAACUGGUUCUUGGCUGAAACUUCAUGUUAAGAUGUUUCCAUUUUCAAAGGACCAUGUAGAAUGGUUUAAAGAAUUUUACCUAACCAACAAAUAUAUAGGACUAAAAUCAGUAAGAAUCAAGGCUCAGUAGAGUUGUCGUACAAGUAAAUGGAGUUAGCUAGCAACUAAAAUUUUAUGAUCCGACCCAACUUCUAGAUAUACAAAAGCAAAAAAAAUCUUUUUCUCUUUUUCUUGCGCAAGAUCAAGUACAAUAUAAAAUGAAAACUAAUACAAAUAUUUUUACGCACCGUGGAUCCAAUAAUUAUUGCAUCCUUCUCCAGGGACAAAGUGAGAUGGCUGAUAAGACUAAAACUCCCUGUCAGCCAUCUUCCCUUUGGCACAAACAACUCAGCCCCACCCUUAUCCGCAAAAGAAUUGAGAUAGAAUAUCGCAUUUUGAAAUGCUUUAGUGUUGAGGGUGACACCAUCUCCUACUGCACCAAACUCGGUAAUUGUGACACUAUGUGGUCGAACCACGCCGGAAUCCAUCUCCUUGCAAUAUAAGCUAGAUACUGCUUUUGGCCAUUGUACUGUUGCAAGGACCAAAAGCACUCCAAACAGCUGAGUCAAAUAUUGAAAAAAACCAGUAUCAGCAAUUUAAAGUUCUAUUUCAUUUUUUUUUUGUGAGGGUGCUUUAUUUGCAUAAAGUAACAUAUAAUAAUAUUUUUAUUUUUCAGGUGCUCUAAAUUCCAACAAUGUUUUUAGGCCUUUUGUCAGAGGAGGUCUAUACCAGAGGGAUGACUAACCAUUGAUCACACAUUGAAACAGGAAUUACAGUUUAGUGACUUAGUUGCAACACAUUAAAGUUCGAAGACUAAGUGAAACUUCACGACAAGCUCAGUGGUGUAAUUUACCCAUACACAGUUAGUAAAUAAUAGAAUGUGAUUUCCUUUCUUCUGCAAGUCCUGAACUAAAGUAGGAGGAUACUAGACAGAGAGAGAGAGUGAGAGAGAGCCAAGAGCGCAUUGUGUGGUCAGGGCAAGUUUAUAACAUCUUGCAUUUCAAUGGUUGUUUGAUCUGACUGAUAACAGAUGAAUAAUGAAAAACUAAGAAAUAGAAGUUAAAGUGGAUUAGAAAACAAAGCUGUUGACGAAAAAUUCUCCAAGACCAUCAGAUCCCACGAGAUAGAACCUGAAUAGUUUGUCAAAUAGAAACUACAAAAGAUCAAAAGCAAGACUCUUCUUCCGUUUAACAACGAGCAUUCAUAUCCAAAAUACCGUCAAGCUAGACUCCUACACUGACGAACAAAAAUAUUAUGUAUUCACAUGGAAACUCUUGUUCCUGCUUCACCUCGGGCAAAAAGGUGAUAAUGCGCCCUAGGGUUCUCUUCAAAAACAUCAUUUUAGCUCUCACUCAAGAUCCUGUUAAUAUGAAACCACAGAGUAGUGAUCUAGUCUAGAGGGAAAUUUAACCAUGCUAAAUUGAAGAUGAAAUCAAAACCCAACAAAAGAGAAAACAAAUGAUGCUCUCGGAUCUUCUUCUUCUUCUUCUUCUUCUUCUUCUUCUUCUUUUGAAAUGUGAUGCUCUCAGAUCAUCAAAAGAAGAAUUAUUUAAAUACAAAUAAAUAUCAAGCACUUCAAUCUAGUCUAGUACAUUAUCAAGCUACAGGGUAAAGAGAGAAGGAAGAAAAUAGAACGAAUUUUAUUUUGGAAAACUCUCUCUCUCUCUCUCUCUCUCUCUCUCUCUCUCUCUCAAGCAUUAAUGCCAGAAUGAAUGAAUGACAUUAAUGCAGUAUAAAGCUCUUCCCUUUUGCAGAUAGCAUCUGGAGAGAAAGCGAAACAUUACAAACAAACUCUCACACUCACACUCCCCAUUCAAGACCCAAAUGGCCAGAGCAUGAGAGCACAUUUCUUAAAAGCAGCAGCGAUCUUGUUAAGAUUAAGGGGGAAAGAAAAAGCGGAGAGAGAGAGAGAGAGAGAGAGUGAAAUAAUGGAAGAAGCCAUGUUUUUUAGGGCGGAGAAGAAAGACGCAGAAGAGGCCGGCCACUUACAGCUGCAGAUCUCUCCAUCUGAACACAGAGAUCUCUUCUCGCCCAAAAAUGGAAGAAGAAGAGCAAGGAGAAGAAGUAAAGAGAGACCCGUCAGAAACUUGUUUAGCGAAAUCCCACGUGAUCAGCACCACCAUUCAAGGGGGGGUAGGGACAGGGGAUUGGGGAUUGGGGAUUGGGGAUUGGGGAUUGGGGAGCAGCUGCAGCAAGCCCGAGCAGCGAUCAAAAAAUGGGGGCUCUGUUUCAGUUUCACCACCAGAAAGAGAAAGAGAAUAAUAAUAACAAUAAUAAUAAUAACAAUAAUAAUAAAUAAAUGAGAUUAAAAAAAAAAAGAAAAAAAGAAAAAGGGGAAUGAGAUGGGGAAUGGGAGGAGGAGGGGGAGGGGGAGGGGGAGGGGGAAAUUGUUUGAUGGUGACAAAUGAUGUCCUGUGAAAGGAGCAAAAACUGUCCUUGGACACUACCUUUUGUCUUCAGACUUCAGCUGCCCCUCCCGUUACUGUCCCAGGCACAGCCCGGCCCCUUUGGCCUCGCAAACAGAAUAGCCAAGUGGGUGAGAGAAGGUGAGGGGGUCUUCCUACUCUUAUUAAAAAACCCACUUUUUAUUACUGCUGCUGCUGCUGCCGCUGCCGCUGCCCCUUGGUGGAGACUGGAGACUGGAGAGGAGUGGGCGGGUGCUGUUGUUUUGAGCGCUGGGGACUAGCAGUCUAGUAGAGACAGAGAGAAAGAGAGAGAAUCACAUAACGCCAUUCUUUUCAUUUCUUUCUGGGUAAAUUGUUUGACGAAUGGUCCUCCUACUAUUCCCGUGUUGCGGCUCGGUCGUUAUACUUUUUAAUUUAUACAUUUUUAAUGUUUGAACGUCAAAUUUAAUGAUCUUAAAAAAACAAAAAUUCUUUUUUGUAACUCUGUUUAUCAGACUAAUAAACUGGAAUAAGCUGGUCGUUUGGAGGAAGAGAGGUUCUUCUAUGGCUUGUUUAUAGAAAACAGAUAUAUAUUUUUUGAUAAGGGACUAAAGUGUGAUUCAGCCACAAUUCCAUACAAUCCCCUUAGGGCCCGUUUGGUUCGAGUUAUGUAAUAUUACAAAGUAUCUCGACAUAUCCAGGUAUUUUGGAUUUCGGCGUGAGAUUACUACUAAUGUUACAUUAGAGCGUUUGGUUUAAUACAGUAAUGUAAUACUAGAUUACAGUGUUUAUAGCAUUAAUAUGUUUGGUUCAGUUUAUAAAAUUUAGUAAUCCUGACAUAAAAGUAUAGUUUUUUUCAAAAUUGCCCUUGUUGUGGUCAUUUGAAUAUUAUUUUUUGCGGAAAUGACGAAUGGAGGGAAGGAGAUCGUGAUGAUUAUUUGGGAGGACGACGCAAUAGAAGAUGAUAGGUGUUCGUGAGAAAGAGAGAGAGAGAGAGAGAGAGACGUCCAGAGAGAGAGAGCGAGAGAAAGCGGCGUGCGAGAGAGAGGGCCAGGGGAAGGCGAGAUAGAGAUGAAAAUAAUGCUGUUAAUUAGAUUUGGGGUUGUUGGAGGGUAAAAUUGUCAUUUUACAUAAUAUGUAGUAUUAACGGGUUUCAGUAAUGCAAGAUACACGACCUCCCUCCCAUUAAUAUUUUCGAUGUAAUCCUGCUCGAUUUGUAACCCUACAUUAACAACUAGAUUACAUAGCGGAUUAACCAAAUAUAGUUAUCCUGGCAGGAUUGUCUGUAAUCCUGCCAGGAUAACUCGAACCAAACGCACCCUUAUUGCCAUUCAUGCAGGAGUGCAGAGGAGUGGUCCGUUACAAUGGAGCAAUUAUUAUUAUUAUUAUUAUUAUUAUUAUUAUUAUUGUUGUUGUUGUUGUUAUUAUUAAUCUUAAAAAGAAGAAGAAGAAGAAGAAAAAGACCAACUUGAGGGAAGAAUUUAGAAUUUAAAAUUUAGAAUUUAGAGGUGGUGGGGCCCAAGAAAUAAAUAAUAAAAAGAAAUAAUAGUCAGUCUUAAUAAGCGCUAGCUUAAGAUUCGAAAGAGGCGAGUCUUUGGAUUCCACAUGCCCGUAUGACGGAAGACACCUGCGAUAAGACUAAACAGCCCCAGAGGCUAAUGCUAUAAUACCAUACAAUAUUCUUACCUCUCUCUCUCUCUCUCUCUCUCUCUACACAUUUGUGUGUUUUAUUCCAACAUUGCUUGGGCUGCAAUAUUACGGAAGCAAUGCUUGAUUAUUCGUGGUUAGAUAGGCUCCUGCCAAAUUGCAAAUGCAUCACCAAUCAGUCUCUAAAAGAGAAAAUAUUGUUUUAUCAAUAGUUAACAUCAAUACUAUUGUAUAAUUAAACUUUUAAUUGCCCUCUACGAGAAAUUAGAUAAUGAGCAAAUAAUUAUAUGCAGGGGAAACCAAAUCAUCAAUUAUAUACUGUGGGAAAAUCAUAACCUCGUCCUACAAUACUUGCUUGAAUUGGAAGUUUACCUUGCUAAUUAAAACAUGUUACAUGUGCUUCCUUGUACCCCCAAAAAAAAAAAGAAAAAGGGUUAGAUGCGCAACAAAAUUUUGGAAAUUCACGAGUGCUUUGCUUGUUGCUGCUACUCAAAUUGAUCAAAUAUUUCUCGCAUUUCUUGCUAGGGAUGGCAAAUUCAUCAAUUUCCUGGGAUAAGGUAUCAGAAGAAAGAGAUUUUCUUCAAAGAGUAAAUCUUCUGUGCAUAUGUAUAUAUAUUUCAUCAUAUAUGUAUAUAUGCUUUUUUUUCUAUCACCUGCGGCUUGUUGGUUUCUUUCACUAUAUAUGGUUCAUGGUCUCUUUCGGUUAAUUAGUCUGAUUAGCCCUGUCCUUAAUGCCUCCGAUAUACCAAGAGGAUUGCUUCUUUAUAAAGCAGCACGUCUUCCACGGAAGUCAUUAGCGGCUACUUCAAGCAUUAAGUAUCUGUACAGUUGCUUGAACAAGAGAAUUUCAUUUAAUCAAGUCAUCCACUCCAUUUCCUUAAUUACCUUAAAAUAUACAUGACCUUUUAUAGAAAAUUUAUGCAGAAGAAAAAUGCUACUUGUGCCCCGCCCCCUACAUAUAGAGGUGAGCAUCGAACACCCUGCUGAUUCUAGGAUUUACUAACUCGUUUUAAUUUUUUAGUAUUAAAAGAUUAAUUGAUAAUAGAUAAUAAUCUUUUAAUAAGUGGAGUGUAAGAUUUAUACCCGGCUCUAUGAAUAUGUGCACAUGGUACUGGUCUAGGUUAAGUUUUCUCAAAUUAUGAGGUGCGGGACAAUGUGAUAUUCAAACUUUAAUUUAUUAUAACUUUUAGUUUGAACUUUUCGAAUUAUUAGAAUAACUUCCGGCACGCUAAUAUUUAGUCAGUUAAAUUAGAUCACGAAACUUCAUUAUAAAAUUCGAAGCAAAAAUUAUUAUAAAGUAAAAAUUAAUAACUCGAAUGUUAAGCAUCCUAUCGUUUGAGUAACAAAGAGUAAUUUAGCUACAGAGAAAAUAAAGCACUCACCAAUGAGAACCCUCGACUAGACUUAAAAGAGGGAAGAGGAAAUUUUUUUUAAAAAAAAGAAGAGGUUUAAUAAUACAUGAAACGUCAAAAGCAACAUGACACGCAUCGUAGACUGAUCUGGUUUGACUAUAAUUAGGUGGGACUUGUACUUGAAGCAUUAAGCACAUGAAUUCAGAUCUUGACCUUCUAACGUGCAACUUCACGGCUUGUAAGGUUAUGUUUGGGAUACAACUUGUACUUCUUUUAUACAGUUUAGCGUCUUCGCCUUGCGCGAUUGUUUAUCAAAAAUGGAAAAAAUGCAUCCAAAUAUGCAUUGUUCCACUUAACUGUGUAAAAUUUUAUUCACAAAAAAUGGAUCAGGCAUUCAUGCAUGGAGUUCAAAAAUACGUUUAUAAGAGGUAGUAAUUAAUGCAUAUAACUUCAAGGAGUACACAAGCUUAAUUCCAUUGAAAGAAAGAAGAUACAGGAACUAACAGCGAAUUCAGAACACGAACAACAGUAAUAUUGUCUUGAUAUUUGUAGUAGCCCAACUGAUCUGUAAUGUGGCUUGCAGACGGAGAAUUUUACAUUGUUUAAUUUGUGCACAUCUUCGAGCAAUUGCUCAAUAUUUUAUUUAAUGAAUUGGUUGCUAGUACGUGCCAAAAGCCCAAAAUGGCCCCAUUAGGCAACAAGAUCACAUGGCAAGGACUAAUAUUAUCAUCAUUCACAGUGCUUGCUAGCUCUUGUGCUUUUAUGGUACUUGAAAACCUUUUUAGAUGCUUCAACUUCAAGGGGACACGGUUCACUACUUCUAGGAAUAUUUUUGUAUAUCUUUUCUACAUCCAAGAAAUUUUGAGAUGUUGCAUUAAUAUGUUUUUUUUGUCAAAAGAGAUUCAGUAGUUUCUUGCUGCAGUAGAAAAAAAACCAGCAUCCUUUGAGCCUUUAACUUUAGGAGCCAGUUGAAUCUCAUUUCAGCUUCACGCCAUGUCAAUAGUUCUGUAGUCUUUGCACAUUCACCAUGAGGUAUAUUCAAAUUGUUGUGAAAGAGAGGCCGAACAGAUAGUUAGCAAGCUCAACGAAAUAUUUCCUAUUCUUUCCAAUUUUGAAGAAAAGUAGGCAUAGGCUUGUAAUUUCGCUCAGGAAUUAAACAAACUUACUACAAAGGGGGCAGGAUAUCUGGCGUUAAAAGGCAUAAUUAUUCGGAUUCGAUGGAUGCUUUUUAAGGUUAAUAACUUACGUUGGCAUGCCAGUUCAAGCCACUAAUACUUAUCACCGGAUCAAUUAAAUUGAGUUUAUAAUCUACCUGAAAUUAUUCCUACAACCAUGGUAAUUAAUAACACAUGCCUAAAGUGGUAUCGCAGAUGAACCAGCUGUACAUAUCCAUCCACUACCCUUUUCAUUUUUCUGGGGGACGAAAAGAAAGAACUCGGACUCGGAAACUGACAGAAAACUGUAUGCUCAGCUCAAAGAGGAUGUUUUUGUUAGAGUUUUCACUUUUGGGAUCUAAAAGGCCAUUUCACAUUCUUGCUGAUUCCGGGUACGUCAAAAUUGAUCAUCUGUUGUUAAUAAAUCCCAGUGCAGCGUGUAUAAGCUAGCGGUAGUAAGUGGCAAAACAAGCUAAUUUUGAUAUCGGGAGGUUUAAAAAGAAGCACGCAAAGGAUGGGAGGAAAAAAAAGAAAGGAAAUGUGGUGGAUAAGAAGUGCCUUCUCUGCUCUGCUAUGCUCUGUCACUUGAAAGUAAGCCUAAUGCUUUGGGAUCCAAUGCCUAGAGAGAGAGAGAGAGUAAGAAUCGAGGGAUAAUUUUCUAUAGGGGAAGGAGAGAGGCAGCAAGACCAAAACAAUCAACAGAAAGAAUCUUUGGUAGAAGAAUAAAAUGAACUACUAAUGUUUAAAAAAUAUCUAUGACGUGCCCAGAUUGCUUUUUCUGGGAGUUCCAAGACAAGAAAAAGUAACCUGCUUUUUGGAAUUCAAAUAUUUUGUCUGGUAACUGGUAAGCCAAUUUUAUCAAAUUUGACCCAUUAAUUUAGCUCCAAUUUGAUCCUAAACUGCCUAAUGAAAAACAUUUGAUUCACCUGGCAAGAAUGAUAAAAGAGUAAUUACAACAGCAGCUUUCUUAAAAGCAUAAGAUACAAAAUAUAUCCUACACUGUGACUAGCUCCCGUUGGUUUUCAAAUCUUUAACAUAAACCCGAAAGUGCAUAAUCAACAUAUUAAUUAAUUGAAUCCACCAAGCUAUUGACUUUCAGUAUUUUGAGUGCGUUUGCUACCGUUGUUCAAAUACAAAACCAGCCCCUAUGGGCCUUCUCCCAGAAAGAAAUUACGAGAAAAAAAAAAAAAGGCCCAGAUGUAGCAAGCUAUAAGCAGCUUGCUAUAAGGCUUUAUUAUUACCACAUUUUGGAAACUCUUUUGCUUGCAUUGGGUGCUGCACAAGUACAUUUGUGUAGGGCACCCACAUCAACUUUCCAUUUUAUCUUAUCUUUCAAUUGCUGGAAACUAUUUAUUCUACUUAAAAAAUAAUAAAUUGUAAUUUAAUGGAAGUUCGUGAUAAAAUAUAUAUAUAUAUAUAUAAUGGAACAAAGGAUGAUAUUAUAAUUACAGUACACUGAUUCAGCGGUUAUAUAUCAGUCAGCACACAGUGAAAGCUUGAAGAGAGAGAGAGAGAGAGAGAGAGAGAGCGCUAGAGCGCCACACAAUUACGUACAUACCGCAAUUCUCUGUAGAUUCUUUCUCUCAAAGAAAAACAAACAAGUCUCUGUAGAUUUGGUGUGAGCAUUAUAAAUGGUUGGCACGCAUGUGAGUUGCAAUGGAUCACCAUCUUCUUAAUCUUCCCUCGGCGGCAUUGGGCAUAGGGCAUAGGGCAUAGGGCAUAGGAGAGCUUUAAUGAGUGCGAGCCCUCCUCCUUCGUAGGUACUCCCACCAAUCCACCAUUAGGAUGAUUUAUACAUGCAAUGUAAGAUGGGUCCAGCAGUUUGUAAACUUUACCCAAAUAAGUGCUCCAGUUCCAUGGACCACACGGACUUAGGCAGCAGCUGUAUAUCCGCCACCUAACCUGCCUACCUACCUGCCUACUGACCGCUAGAGGAUCAUCGGGUUGAUGUUGAACAGUACGCGAGGCGAAAGUUGCAUAUGCACCUAUAUAAGACAUGCACGAAACCGAAAAAUUAUGACAAUUCGAGCCCUUAUUUAUUUAUUUAUUUUGGUGAAAUGAUGAUCAUCAGCUUCUUUUGGAAAUUGUGAGGAAUCGGCAACCAAAAAAAAUUUGCCAAAAUUAAUUUCAUACCAAUAUUGAAAUUUCCAGUGGUUCUUUGGCCAAGUACUUUUGAAAUAUUUUUUCUAUUUCAAAAUGGCAGCAGCCUAGCAAUAAUUAGACAAAAUGUGUAUCUAUGAUGGCGAGGAAAUGAAAUGCUCCUCAUAUUUUUCAAAAGCAUAAUUAAGUUUCAAAUUGAAACUUGUCAUCUACUUUACGGUAAAUAAGUAUUGGUAGGAUUUUAUUGUUCGUCGUAUUCGUAAAGAUUACUAAGAUAUAACGGAUCAAUUUCAAGUACACAGAAGAUGAAGUGUGGUUUAUGGUUUGAAUUAACAAGUUAAACAGCCGGCCGAGGGACUUGAUCCAGUCGAUAAUCUCCAAUUAAUCAACGGAAACACGCAAGCAAUUUGAUGAUUGUCAAAUGCUGCUGACAGCACCUAUUCAGAUGUUUAAUCACCCUUCCUAAUCCGUCCUACUUUCCUUAAUUCAAUAUUAAUCCUUGUCAUUCCGUGAACAACAAUUUAUUUUAUAUUUUUUUUAAAUAAAUAAUUAGUUACUGGACGGUGGGGAUUAAAAUAUGGGUACGGGAUGAACGGCUCGCAAUACGCAGUUCGCAGCGUUUAGGGAUGCACCGGGUGCAAGCAAUUCUAAAAGUACCUCCGCGACUUGUCCGCGUGCGCACGAUGCAUCGUAGGUCAUCCGUACCAAAGGCUAGGUUAAAGGAGAGAGAAAGAAGUUAGGCGAUGCGGAGGUACGUACGUACUACAAAAGUGUACUACUGGUAGAGUAAGAACUCGGGUCCAGUGCGCCAGCGAGGGCAUAUGGCUCGCGUCGCGUGUAGUACUAGUACGAUCGUCGAGUUGAUUUGGUUAGCUAAUUAGAGUACGACCCAAGCCACAAUCGACUUAGUUCAUUUGUACUUGCUAGAUGUUGUACUCCCACCUAGCUUAGCUGGCUCGAUAGUAGUAACGAGAGAGAGAGAGAGAGAGAGAGAGAGAGGGAGUACAUGUACAGCGUCCUGCCACAGAAUAUGGUUUGAGGAUCAUCAGCACCUCGCUUCCGUGUGUGUGUGUGUGUGUAUAUAUUGGUGUAAAACACCCGGGGCUCAGCCACUUGUAAUUGCACAGUAAAUGUAAUUGACCCACCCCAACAGCCACUUCAGAAGAAGAAGAAGAAGAAGAAGAAGAAACCCAAAUAGAAAGGCGAAGGUAAAGAUUAAUUUGCAGGGCAAUGGAUGUUGAGGUAAGUAUUAAAGAAGCGAGCUAGAAGGGGAAUUGAGCAGACGGGGACGAGGUCGGGCAUGCGAGGGGUUCAGUCCGCAUAGAAAAAGAUUCCCUAUGCGGGUGCCCUUCCCAUGCACUGCCUCUUCCCUGGCUCCUCUCGAUCUCUCUCUCUUGCUCUCUGUGGAUCUCUCUCCAUCUCUCUCUCUGAAUCUCUCUCUCUCUCUCUCCCCCCAAUAUUUUAUGCUUCUGUUGUUCUUUUUCUUAUUGAUUGUCACUGCAGGACUGGCUAAUCGUUCAUUAAUUAAUGUGCUCCUUUUUUUCUUUAAUUCGUUAGAAUUUAGAAAAGAAAACAAGCUAGAUAGAUCGACCCCUUUCCAGUUUCCAGGUACGUCGUUACUAUUGAUUCUGACGCAGUAACUGGGUGGGGCAGUAUGAAUUGCAGUACUGCAAUUGGGGGGACCGGCAAUCGAUCGCCAGAAAGAACGCGCGGGGACUAUUAUUCCCUUCCCUUUAAAUGUCUGUUUUGUGAUUCGUUCAGUGCGUGCGAGAGUUGUAAAUCUAUAUAUUACAGUCAUAAUUAAUUUAUGUAUUCUAUCUACAAAACCUUUUUCUUUUCUUUUAUUUUUUCCCUUUUUUUUGAGGAAGUUUUGUGCAUGCUACGCCUGAUAUAUGUUAAUGUUGAAUGUACGGUUAUUUGAGAAAUUGAAAUUUGAUCUUUGAAUGCAGGUCACCAAAAAAAAAGAAGAAGAAAAAAAGUAUGUACUUAAUAAUUAAGAUGUGGCGUAUCAAAUGUACCCACAUUUUGGGAAGAUUGUAUUUAGAAUUUUGUGGUGUAUAUAUAUAUAUAUAUAUAUAUAUAUAUAUAUAUAUAUAUAUAUAGACGACUUGCUUUAUUAUGAGAUGAUAUCAUUUUGUUUGGUAAUGUACAGUUCGUUAUAAUGCACGGAUAAAAUGCAUUUAUCACAUAACAUGUACUCCUGUAAUUCUUAAGCGCGAUUAAAGAGCUACUAGCAAUUUCGUAUUUGCUGUCACGUUAUAAAAGUGCUGUUGUAAAAGAAUUCCCACGGCAACUUUGCCAGUUUGUAGCAACAGAUGAAUAGAUUAUUUUAUAUUAUAAACUCACGUAAUUUUUUUUUUCUAUCUGUAGCAGAACUAGGGGGUAAUCUGGGCCGUGCCGGUCUGGCACGGCUCACAUUACCCGGGCCGAUUCGGGCCCAGCGUCGGCCCGGACCAUCCAUGUUAUGAAUCCGGGCCGUGCCGUGCCGCCUGUUCAUUUAGGGUUAAAGGCCCGGCCCGGCCCCUGGCCCGCCCAGCCCGGGCCGGGCCUCGUGCCAGCCCAGUAAUAGGGCUUUUGUCCUGUCUUCUUUGUCCUUUUUUGUAUUUUUUAAAAAAAUUAUUUUUUUGAAGAAAAAGAGAUAAAUAAUUUUUAACUUAUAAACUUUUGAUUUAAUGUUUUUAAUUUACACAACUAUGCCCAAUUUUUUUGAAACUCUUUUAAAAAUUUUAUAAAUUUUUAAAAAAUUAAACACUAACAAUAAAUUUAAUUUUUUAAUAUUAUUAAUUAACAUUAUAUAAAAUUUAAAGCUUAGAGAUAAAUAAUUUUCACUUUCAAUUUUAUAGAUUUUUAAUAUAAAUAUUUUAAUUUACAUUUGUUUGAUCCAAUAACUAACUUUAAUAUAAAAUUAAUAACUUUUUUUCCAUAAUUUUUUAUUAUUUGAAGUGAACUUGAUAUUCUAAAAAAAAUAACAAAAAGAUAUAUAAAUUUUGAAUUAAUCAUAUUACAUAAUUACAUGAGAGAAAAGUAUAAAAAUUUAAAAAAUCAAAAAUAUAUAAAAAAAAAAAAAUUAAAUUUUUUGACCCUUUGUUUUGAAAAAAUAAAAAUAAAAAGUAUUUUUUUAAAACAAGGAACGGCUAAAGUGCCGUUGAGCCCAUCUUCCAAGGUUAAGUUUCUGCAAGAUCAUGUGGCUACAGUAGCCCUACAGGCUAUACAGCCUACACUCUAUAGAUAGGUCCAUAGGGUUUAGGGUAGGCCCAUGUUGUGAUCCUUGUUUUUCUAUGCCCCAUAGUCAUGGCUUGUGGAUUUAAACCACCGGGCCGUGCCCGGCCGACAUCUGGCACUGCGCGGCCCAGGCCCGAACGGGCCGUGCCGUGCCGGGCCCGCAGGCCACAAAAACUCAGCCCGGCAGGACCUGGAGUGCCAGGCCGGGCCGGCCCCCUAAAGAUGCUACAGUAACCGUGCCGGGCCACGGCCCGGCCCGUUUACAUCCCUAAUGCUGCAGAACCUCCAAUAUUACAGAAAGUUCCUUUUCUUCCUUUCGAAAUAGAGAAGUACUGUGCUUGUUGAAUGGUUUUGGUAUUAAAACCAAAUCACUUGGAGCAAAAAAAAAAAAAAAAAAAAAACCUAAUAUCUAGAUUUAAAAAUUGCUGCCGUAAUAACUGGACUUAAUGGAGGCCAAUUAACCUUAGCAAUGAUUUGGGCCGAGUCAGAGCAGGGCUUUCCUUCGCUGGCGCACGACAAGGCCCAGUAAAAUUAAGAGAAUACCUUGGACCAGAAUAUAGUGUUUCAGGCCCAAUUAAUCACCCAUGGGCUAAGUACCACUAUAUUCUCUACAUGCGCCUCAAUAACUAGAAAAUUGACUUGUAUUAUUGUUUGCUCAUGUCAUUAUUGCAUUUAAUUUUUCUUCUAUUUCAGUGCAAUUUGCCGCGUGGAUCUGAAAUUUAUAUUUGUUGAAAUUCGGCUUAUGUUGAAAAAAAAAAAAAAGGAAAGAAAAUCUCGGUGGACACUCGUCUUUCAAGAAACUAAGGUCCGGGUCAGAAUAGUAAGUAUAAUAAUAAUAAUAAUAAUAAUAAUAAUAACGCGAUUGUUAAUUGUAGCAAUUAUCUGAUUUGAUUUUGACCCGAAAUUUGUAUAUUUGCCAUCCGUGAUGAUAUUUGAAAGCGUGGCUAUACAACUUAAGUUGGCCUCAUGUUUCUUAUGUGUCAGCUAAAUUUGUAAGAUACAUUGCUUUCAUCUGUUGUUGGGAUUUCCCAAUCUCUCACCAUCCCAUUUAUUUAUCUUUUUCCCUUUAUUUAUUGUAGGCAAUACCUACAAGAUAGCUAUCACAAGGUUAUGCGUACUUGCACUACGCACAACAUAACAACCGGGAGGACGCACAAUAUUAGUAAAUAAUGAUAAUAUAUUAUAAUUAUUAUUAUUAUUAUUUUUCAGUUGGACAAUGUGAUGAAAGCAGUGACAGACUGAUCAAAAUCAAGCGCCGAGAAAUGUCCAAACAAAAAAAUUGUACGGCCAGGUGAUAAAAGCAUUGUGAUCCACCGCAUCAUCAGGACCGUCCGCUCUGAUAAAUUAUAGCAUGGGAUUAUUUACAGUAUAUAUAUAUUUGAAUAUUAAAUUGUUAAACUUAAUUUAGAUGUGGUAAAACUGAGUUGAUCGAUAUCUGAUAUAAUAAAUGCAUAAAAAAUUAGCCCUGUAAAUACGUUUGACCACAGCAUGACACCAAACCCAAUUAAACACCCGAGAGUUGGAUCUAACGGAUCGUCGGAACCGUCCAUUAAAUUGAACGAGCCAAUUAUUGGGUGUCACCCGCGGCGGGACAGCUUUGGCCGGCAAAAUCGCUGGCGUGCAGUCCAAUCAGAUCUUCUAUUUCAAAAAGUAUUGAUUGAUAGAUAUAGACUUUUGAUUUGUCACAAAAUACGAACGAAUAUACUACUUGUACAUCUCAUCUCAUCUCAUCUCAUGAAGGAUAAAAAUUCUACACUCUUUUUUAUAUCUUAAAACAUAAAAGAUAUUUAUUAAAUCUGGAGUAGAAGUAAAAUUUAUAAGAUAAGUAGAAAAUCGUAGUCAUAAAAUUAGACUUCUAGAUUUACACCUACAGCGUUUCUCAAAAAUUGUACUCGUUUUUACAAGGAUUAAAUGAAUAAGCGGCCAUGUCAAGUGCAUUGAAUUUGCUAUUUAAAAUAAUAAACUGGGCCAGCGAGUUUAAGUUACCUGUUACCCCUUUAGAAGGAAAAAUAAUAUAAUAAUCUGAUAAUAGAAAAUAAGUUAAGACUGGUUUAAUAAGAGAUUUGAUUGAUUAAUUAAAGCAAGCGCUUGUCUUUUAUCAUCCGGAAGGAAAUGCGAAGAAAAUUAAUUCCACGUCAGAAAACUACCAUCUCC
RNAcentral lists this long non-coding RNA (56571 nucleotides) under Ananas comosus (pineapple). Its description in RNAcentral is "long non-coding RNA (ACOM_LNC018936)". The stretch from base 27487 to 27750 matches the Rfam family "Bacterial small subunit ribosomal RNA", at positions 58 to 351 of the family's 1533-position model. The record is from RNAcentral. Lineage: Eukaryota; Viridiplantae; Streptophyta; Magnoliopsida; Poales; Bromeliaceae.